This 88479-nucleotide long non-coding RNA is filed under the name Triticum aestivum (bread wheat). RNAcentral's name for it is "long non-coding RNA (TAES_LNC028476)". Lineage: Eukaryota; Viridiplantae; Streptophyta; Magnoliopsida; Poales; Poaceae. The record is from RNAcentral.
AAGAUGUACCUGGGACGUCGGGCUGUAGCUAGAAGGGCGGUUGGGAGGCGGCAUCGCCCAUACCGCGGGGACCCCCGAUUGGGACGCACUGACUGUGGGUUUUCUCCCUCGCCGAUGUCGACUGCGUCUAUGCAGAACAUCGUUCCCUUCCCCCAACAUCGUUCUAUGCUUGUGAAGAGAGCAACCCAAGCAAACAGGCUUGUAGCUUAGGCUCCUGCUAGUGUAUAUAUAGUGGUUUUCUUUUUUCUCUCCAUAUCAACCAUUUUAUAUUGCGUACGUGUCAUUGAAGAGUGAAAUGAUGGUUGCUUCUUCCGACUAACUUACUGUGUGAUUUGACUGCUCCUUAGUGGCCCCUACACGUACUCCCCCUACGUGUAUGACCGUUCCGGAGUCUCACUUGUACUUAUCUCUAUUUUCUUGCAUGACACGUAGACAGGAUGCGCAUAGAGGAAUUUUGUCACUUCAUGUUGUUACAUAGUACUACUAGUACCUACUCCCUCCUUCCGGUUCACUACUGGUACUCCCUCCGUCCUGGCUUAUUGGUCCCCUUUGUACUCAAUUCAUGGGCUCGUUUUCCUCAAGAAAUUGUCUUUACCAACUAAUAAUAUUGGGAAUGCAUGCGUGAACAACGAAUGAUUAAACCUUGCAUGCAACGUUUUGACAAAGCAUUGACUUAUGAACAUGUGAAUGUGAGGGACUACAACCUCGUGCAUGCAUGCAACAGUCACACGUACACAUCGACGCAAAAACGUGCGUGACGCCCUAAUGCAUGCAUGUCCGAGCACACGACGGAACACAAACGGUCACGCUCAAGUGCUCAACCUACACGUGCAUGCACACACAUACUCAGCCAGGGUGAGCUAGUGACCGUAUAAACACCAGAAAAUGUACAUAUUGAGUGCAAUGAGCGUAUUAUGAAGUCCACUGACCGUAUUUUUUUAAAUAUACAGUGACAGACAGUGUAUUUAUCUCGUUUGAAAUUUAGCCAUAUUAACCGGAAAGGAGGCAGUAUGGACUAGCAUUACUUUGUUGUGUCCCGUCAACUUGCCGAACGAGGAGAAGCUUGCAGGACGGGAGAAGCUUGCGUGCGGUGGCUCGCAGGACAAGGAGAAACUUUUGACUAAUGUAAACUCUCCUUCACUCAGGCGGUGGACGUGCAACAUUUAAUUCGCUGUCAUAUUGCCAGAAGUAUACACUGUACUAGUACCAUUAUUGUUCGACUUCCCGAAGAGGCGAACAGCCAAGUGCAAAGUUUACUACUACUAGUACUAGCACUACUAUAGAGGUAUGUACUACUACUAGGAACCGGAUGGAGGAGCGCCUGCACUCUUAUUUUAUUUUAAAAUGUGAUAAAGCAAUCUUCAACACAUUUGGUUCUCUUCGAGGGUUCUCGCAUGUGAUAAUGGACGUUGAUUGCAUGGAACACUCGCCACAACUCUUUCUUAAUUCUGGCUCAUAUCCUGUUACAAAUAGGAGCGCUCGGUAAUAUUUUCUCUUUUUUUUGUUAUUCAGCAUGUAAACAGGUCAGCAAACCUUGCGGCGCAUCUUUGUGCGAACCGUGCUUGCUGGCCGAGAGCUGGCUUGAUGAAACACCUUGCUUCCUUCUUCUUUUUUGCGGGGUACCUCGCUUCCUAGUGACCAGUCUCUUGGUUGAUCGUCCUAAGAAUGCUUAUAUAUGAAAAAAGCUCUCUCAUUUACCUGCAAAAAAGAUUAAGCCAUAUUAACCGAAAAGGAGGGAGUAUGGACUAGCACUACUUUUUGGUGUGUCCCGUCAACUCGCAGAACGAGGAGAAGCUUGCAGGACAUGGUGAAGCUCGCUUACGCCUUUUGACUAAUGCAACCUACCCUCACCCAGGCGAUGGACAUGCAGUAGUUCAUUCGGUGUCAGAUUGCCAGAGGCAUACACUGUAGUACCCAACAUGCGGAGUACCAUCAUUGUUCGACUUCACGAAGAGGCGAAGAGCCAAGCGCAAGGUUUAGUAGUACGAGUAGUAUUACUACUAGAACCGCAUGGUGGAGCGUCUGUACUCUUAUUUUAUUUUAAUCUCUGAUAAAGUACACAUUUACUCGGGAGAAGCGCGGAAAAUGGCAGCCCAAUAGUAGUAUUAAAAAACAUCGAACAUGUGAUGAUGAUAUCGAUCAACCAUGCUCGAAUAUAUCUUGGCCUCCGUGCGAGCCCGUCUGUGUGUUCUCGAUCCUCGUCUCUCUCAAGGAACGGCGGGUUGGCCAUUUUGCCGUCAAUUGAGAUCGGUUUGCUCACACUCCGGUCCCACAUGUCAGUGAUAUGCCAAGAGGAAGUGCAUUGACCGACUGGCCAUACGCGUACUUGGUUUUGCACCUUCAUUCUACUCCUCCCUCCGUCACAGUUUAUAGGGCGUGCUUCAUUCUGAUGCAUUUCUCUCCAUGCAUUUCCACCACCAGAGAGAUUUUAGACGCGUUUGGUUUAAUGCUCAAUUAAUUAGGGCAUGGUAACCGCAAUCAAGUCCACAAUUUUCUCUCGAUGUACUACGGAGUGGAGUAAGUGCAUGCAUGUGUGUACCCGAGGUGGAAGCACUGCAUGCAUGUGUGUACGCAUUAUUUCCUCUAGUAAUAGACGCCGUGCUAUAACUACCAAUGCUAUUUUUCAGGCCGAUCGCUAGCCGCCUUGGUCCCAGAGAUUUUUUUGAAGCGCGCUCUAUAAACAGUGGCGGAGGGAGUAGUAUGAGUGGAUUCAAAGAAGAGCGUAUUGAUGGUUGCUUCUUCCGAGCAACUUACAGUGGGAAAGGUGGGGCUUAUGAUUUGACUGCUCAUUACUCACUAUUAGUGCGGCGCAACGACCGGGCACUACUCCCUCUGUUCUUAAAUAUACUACGGAGUAUUUGUCUUUCUAGAGAUUUCAACGAGUGACUACAUACGAAGCAAAAUGAGUGAAUUUACACUCUAAAAUAUGUCCAUUUGAAAUUUGUAAAAAUACAAGUAUUUAGGAACAGAGGAAAUAUAAUUUUGUGCAUGGCACAUGGACCUGGAUGCUAAAGAGGCUUCUGGCAAUGCUAUCAAGCUUCCAGCAUUUGUUUACAUAAUUGACGUACUAUACAAAUAAUUUUCUAGCAACAUGAAAUUGUACAAUGCUCUAAGCUUUCAGCUUUUGUUUCGUGUGUCUUGCCAUCCAUGCUCUUUUGGAAACAAUAAAAAACUAACUUCCUUGCUAAUGCAUCUCAAUGAUUAGCAGAUCAAAGCUAAUAUUUACAUCACAACUGAAGACAAAGUUGUGAGAAGGUGUUAAAUUAAAAUUGAUCCAUGCUUUCAUUGCCAGCAACGUCCCCCCAGCUCUGUCUAAAUCAACAAGGCAUGUUGGGAAACAAGGUAGCUGUCUGGAGCAUGCAACAUUUCGAUCAUUUUGUGCAUUUCCACUAAAAUAGAGCUGAGCGUCCCUGUUCCAAAGAUAUUAAGUGUGAUUACAAUAAUAGAGGACUAUUGAUGAAACAAUAAACACACAAAUAGAAGCCGGUCACCUUUGUAGUCUCUCUUAAGACUAACUAGUUGGAGAAGAUUAAGCAAAUAGUUGGAGAAGAUUAGGCUCGGAGUUGGAUGAGGAGGAUAGAGCAAAACCAAUCUCCCUUUGUGCAGUCGCACUGAAAUGUUGAGACAUUGCCCGUGUGACAUUUUAGUACAACUGCACACAAAAAACUCUUAAGAAAAAAGUGAUUUGUUUAGUUCACCAAAAGGUCGCAAUAGCAACGAGGUGAAAUGGAUAGCCCUGUUUGCAAAAAAGAGGUAGAAAGGAAACAAUUACUGGCCAAUAAUAGUUGAUGACACAUACGACGACAAAAAAGAAGCAUAUUCCUUGCCCUAAGGGAAGAUAACAACACGGUUGUGUUUGUCUAAAAUGGUGUGAGGACGAGAUUGCACUAUGGAAAGUACGUCGGAUGAGCUACGUUUUGGGCAAAGAACUAUGGAAGAUCCACAUGCAGCGACGUGGGAAGAGGGGCAGUGGAGCAAGGCUGGAGGGGAUACCUGGGGGUCGUCGGGAUGUAACUAGGAGAGCGGCGGCGGGCGGGAUCUGCCCAUACUGCGGCAGCGAGCAGGUGGCGUCGGCCCUACCGCGCCGGAGCUUGGUUAGAGAGAACAGCGGGUACCGCAGAUUGGGACGUGUUGCCUCGGCGCCGUCGAAUGGAGAAACUAUGCACAUCCUCCCUUUCCGCCGGCGGACGGGAUGCGGCCGGAUCACUGACCAACGGUGAGAGAGAGAGAGGCCACCGCCGCCUUGUGUGAGAUACUCUGAAGAGAGACAAACCCAGGCAGGCAGGCUCCAUUGUAUAUAGUGGAGCGGACUACCUUUUUCUCCAUAAAAAUCGUUUUAUAUCCUGUGUACGUGUCAUUGAGCGAUAUAACUUUAUUUAAAAAUAAAGCGCCAACGCAUCAAGUCGAACAUUGUUUCGUGCACGCGUGGUACAUGACCUCCGUAGGUAAACAACCGCUACACGCGUUCAAAUUAGCACGUGGGCUGCCAUUUCGUACAGAAAUGAGCUCCACCGUGUACCCGCGCGGGUGUGGCUGGGCACGAAGCGUGAGUACGUGCACCUAUUCUCUUCAUGUAUGUACACCACCUACGUGGGGUUGUGUGAGAGAGAUACAAACGUAGAGAGAUAUAGUGUGUGGGUUCGUGAGUGUUUUUUUCUAGGGGGGUGUUGAGAAAUAGACAAGCAAUAUAUGUGGAUGAUAUUUCAAUCAAAAAAUGUAACAUGUGCAAUCUGUGUGAAAUAGAGUCCUAGAUAUAUCAUAUAUAUAGAGGGGGCGAUCCACGAGAAGAGAGUGGAGGUAUCAUUGGGUUGAGGUAUCCAUAGAAUCGAAGAGAGGGAUGAUGUGUGUGUGUGUGUGUGUGUGUGCGCGCGCGUGAUCGAUAAAGAGUGCCAUCAAAUUUAUGUGUGCCCACGUCAAAGAUAUAGGGUGGCUGGCCUACUGGAAUGUGAAAGGGGACAUGUGCAGUUUGUCUCUGUGGCAUGGAUACCUACCUACAGUGCUCGACUAUCGAUGUGUGGUGGGGGGUGGGGGAGACCUAAUUAACUAUAGAGGUACAAUGGCUGGUAUAUGUGUGGAGGAGGAGAGAGGCCUACCUUAUGUAUUGAGGGAGACCGAUCGGCAUCCAUGCAUAUGUGUAGGAGAGGAAUAAGGUUGGGAGAGAGACAGAGCUAGACUGUUGGAGGGGUGGUGGUGGAGUUGCUUCUAACAAAUGGUGGGAGAGGCUUGCUAGACAAAUGGAGGGCACGCCUGCAAUAUCAAUAAGAGAGGGGAUGGCUGCCUGUCUGUGCACGUGCGUGUGAGAGACGGGUCAGGAGGCAUGCACGAAUGAUGAGGGGGGACGAUAUGGCUGUGGUAAGCAGACAUAACUACAUAGGAAGAUCAAUCGUCCUUUGUUAGAGAAAGGAGAAACAUAACUUGUGAGGUACGUCGAUCAAUGGGUGGGGGAAAAUAGUUAAAGUCGGCCUAGGUAUAUGUACGGAGAUCGAUCAGUAUACAUGCAUGUAUGUGUUAGAAGCAAAUAAGGCCCGGGGAGAAGGAUAGAGAGAGAGGGAUGCAGCUAGGAGGUGGUGCGAGAGGCAUACUAUAUCAAUGGGGAAGGAGUGUGCGAGUACGAGAUCGAUGAAAAGAGGGGUGGGAGUGAGGCAUGGACGGUGAGAAGAGAAGAGGGAAAGCUUGUGUUUGUGGUAGGCACACCUGGCUAGAGAGGCAUAUCGAUCAAUGUGUGCCGUAAAGAAGGAGCUGGGGGCCUACACACACCGUGGGUGAAUGGCCUAAAGUGAAAAGACGAAUUUGCGCGAUGGAGCUAGAGAAUGCUGAGGGAGGGUGAGAGGGAUGCGGGUGUGUGCAUGCAUGAGAGAAAGUUGGCGCUAGCUACAAAGAUAAGAGGAUUGUGUGGGUGUAAAAGACGAAUAGAUAUCAUAAUUCAUUAUAAAAAGUGAAUUCAGAUAUUUGAAGAAUUUAUCAUAGUGUUCUAAACCGACGCAUGUGUGAAUAUAUAUAAUGGUGAUACACAUGGUGUGGUUAUGAACAUGAUAUACUACAUAUAAUAUAUUUUAUCUCUACUCUUAUAAAAAACAGAGUUGUUGAUGAUGGUGUGCCUGCCAUGUUGCAGUAUAGGCCGUCCGAUUUAUAUCUGACGGAUAGGAAGGAAACUAUGGCAAUUUUGAAAAAAUAUACCCACAACCCUCUCCACAUUUGCAAAUAAGGCCUCCCCUCGAUCAUCUUGAUGUUCCGUGGAACGCAUGGGCAUCUUGCUAGUACUACAUAUAAUAUAUAGAACAUUGAUUAUUGUUGGGGAACGUAGUAUUUCAAAAAAAAAAUCCUACGAUCACGCAAGAUCUAUUUAGGAGAAGCAUAGCAACAAGCGGGGAGAGUGUGUACACGUACCCUCGUAGACCGAAAGCGGAAGCGUUAAGUAACGCAGUGGAUGUAGUCGAACGUCUUCGCGAUCCAACCGAUCAAGUACCGAACGCACGGCACCUCCGCUAUCUGCACACGUUCAGCUCGGUGACAUCCCUCGAACUCUAGAUCCAGCUGAGGCCGAGGGAGAGUUCCGUCAGCACGACGGCGUGGUGACGGUGAUGAUCAAGUUACCGGCGCAAGGCUUCGCCUAAGCACUACGAUGAUAUGAUCGAGGUAGAAAACUGUGGAGGGGGGCGCCACACACGGCUAGGAACAAUUGUUGUGUGUUCUAGGGGUGCCCUCCCCACGUAUAUAAAGGAGGGAGAGGGAGGGAGGGAGCCUAGGGCGCGCCCAAGUAGGAGGAAUCCUACUUGGGCCCCUAGUCCAAUUCGGCCCCCCCCCUACCAUAUUUGGACAAGGGGGGAAGAAAGGAGGGGGGAGGGGAAGGAAGUAGGAGUCCUACUUCAUACUUUCGUUUUCCUCCUCUCCUUUCCCUUUCUCCCCACGUGGCUUGCCCUAUAGGGGGCGCACCAGCCCCUUGUGGGCUGGUGUGUUCCCUUACUUGGCCCAUAAAGCCCAUAUCUUUGCCGGGGGUUGCCCGGAACCCCUUCCGGUGACCCGGUAUCACCCGGAACACUUCCGGCGUCCGAAUAUAGCCUUCCAAUAUAUGAAUCUUUACCUCUCGACCAUUUCGAGACUCCUCGUCAUGUCUGUGAUCUCAUCCGGGACUCCGAACAAACUUCGGUCAUCAAAUCACAUAACUCAUAAUACAAAUCGUCAUCGAACGUUAAGCGUGCGGACCCUACGGGUUCGAGAACUAUGUAGACAUGACUGAGACACAUCUCCGGUCAAUAACCAAUAGUGGAACCUGGAUGCUCAUAUUGGCUCCUACAUAUUCUACGAAGAUCUUUAUCGGUCAAACCGCAUAACAACAUACGUUGUUCCCUUUGUCAUCGGUAUGUUACUUGCCCGAGAUUCGAUAGCCGGUAUCCUCAUACCUAGUUCAAUCUCGUUACCGGCAAGUCUAUUUACUCAUUCUGUAAUGCAUCAUCCCGCAACUAACUCAUUAGUCACAUUGCUUGCAAGGCUUAUAGUGAUGUGCAUUACCGAGAGGGCCCACAGAUACCUCUCCGAAACACGGAGUGACAAAUCCUAAUCUCGAUCUAUGCCAACCAAACAAACACCAUCGGAGACACCUGUAGAGCAUCUUUAUAAUCACCCAGUUACGUUGUGACGUUUGAUAGCACACAAAGUGUUCCUCCGGUAUUCGGGAGUUGCAUAAUCUCAUAGUCAGAGGAACAUGUAUAAGUCAUGAAGAAAGCAGUAGCAAUGAAACUGUAACGAUCAUAAUGCUAAGCUAACGAAUGGGUCUUGUCCAUCACAUCACUCUCCUAAUGAGGUGAUCCCGUUCAUCAAAUGACAACACAUGUCUAUGGUUAGGAAACAUAACCAUCUUUGAUAAACGAGCUAGUCAAGUAGAGGCAUACUAGGGACACUUAUGUUUUGUCUAUGUAUUCACACAUGUGCUAAGUUUCCGGUUAAUACAAUUCUAGCAUGAAUAAUAAACAUUUAUCAUGAAAUAAGGAAAUAAAUAAUAACUUUAUUAUUACCUCUAGGGCAUAUUUCCUUCAGUCUCCCACUUGCACUAGAGUCAAUAAUCUGGUUCACAUCGCCAUGUGAUUUAACACCAAUAGUUCACAUCACCAUGUGAUUAACACCCAUAGUUCACAUCGCCAUGUGACCAACACUCAAAAGGGUUUACUAGAGUCAAUAAUCUAGUUUGCAUUGCUAUGUGAUUAACACCCAAUAGCACUAAUGUGUGAUCAUGUUUUGCUUGUGAGAUAAAUUUUAGUCUGCGGGUCUGCAACAUUCAGAUCUGUAUGUAUUUUGCAAAUUUCUAUGUCUACAAUGCUCUGCACGGAGCUACUCUAGCUAUUGCUCCCACUUUCAAUAUGUAUCUAGAUCGAGACUCAGAGUCAUCCAGAUCGGUGUCAAAGCUUGCAUCGACGUAACUCUUUACGACGAACUCUUUAUUACCUCCAUAACCGAGAAAUAUUUCCUUAGUUAUCUAAGGAUAAUAUUGACCGCUGUCCAGUGAUCUACUCCUAGAUCACUAUUAUACUCCCUUGCCAAACUCGGGGUAGGGUAUACAAUAGGUCUGGUACAUAGCAUGGCAUACUUUAUAGAACCUAUGGCUGAGGCAUAGGGAAUGACUUUCAUUCUCUCUCUAUCUUCUUUCGUGGUCGGGCUUUGAGUCUUACUCAACCUUACACCUUGCAAUACAGGAAAGAACUCCUUCUUUGACUGUUCCAUUUUGUACUACUUCAAAAUCUUGUCAAGGUAUGUACUCAUUGAAAAAACUUAUCAACCUUAGAUCUUGAUGCUUAAUAUGUAAGCAGCUUUACCGAGGUCUUUCUAUGAAAAACUCCUUUCAAACACUCCUUUAUGCUUUCCAGAAAAUUCUACAUCAUUUCCGAUCAACAAUAUGUCUUUCACGUAUAUUUAUCAGAAAAUUGUAGUGCUCCCACUCACUUUCUUGUAAAUAUAGGCUUCACCACAAGUCUGUAUAAAUCUAUAUGCUUUUAUCAACUCAUUAAAGCGUAUAUUAACUCCGAGAUGCUUGCACCAGUCCAUAGAUGGAUCGCUGGAGCUUGCACACUUUGUUAGCACCUUUAGGAUUGACAAAACCUUCUUGUUGUAUCAUAUACAACUCUUUAAGAAAUCCAUUAAGGAAUGCAGUUUUGACAUCCAUUUCCAGAUUUCAUCAAAUGUGGCAAUUGCUAACAUGAUUCGGACAGACUCAAGCAUCGCUACGAGUGAGAAAAUCUCAUCGUAGUCAACAUCUUGAACUUGUCGAAAACUUUUUGCGACAAUUCGAGCUUUGUAGAUAGUAACACUACUAUCAGUGUCCGUCUUCCUCUUGAAGAUCCAUUUAUUCUUACUGGCUCGCCGAUCAUCGGACAAGUCAAUCAAAGUCCAUACUUUGUUCUCAUACAUGGAUCCCAUCUCAGAUUUUAUUGCCUCAAGCCAUUUCAUGGAAUCUGGGCUCAUCAUCACUUCCUCAUAGUUCAUAGGUUCAUUAUGGUCUAUUAACAUGACUUCCAGAACAGGAUUACCAUACCACUCUGGUGUGGAUCAUACUCUGAUUGACCUACGAGGUUAGGUAGUAACUUUAUCUGAAGUUUCAUGAUCAUCAUCAUUAACUUCCUCACUAAUUCGUGUAGGCAUCACUGGAACUGAUUUCAGUGAUGAGCUACUUUCCAAUUCAAGAGAAGGUACAAUUACCUCAUCAAGUUCUACUUUCCUCCCACUCACUUCUUUCAAGAGAAACUCCUUCUCUAGAAAGGAUCCAUUCUCAGCAACGAAUAUCUUGGCUUCGGAUCUGUGAUAGAAGGUGUACCCAACAGUCUCCUUUGUGUAUCCUAUGAAGACACAUUUUUCCGACUUGUGUUCGAGCUUAUCAGGUUGAAGCUUUUUCACAUAAGCAUCAUAGUCCCAAAUUUUAAGAAACGACAGCUUAGGUUUCUUGCCAAACCACAGUUCAUACGGUGCCGUCUCAACGGAUUAGAUGGUGCCCUAUUUUAACGUGAAUGCAGCUGUCUCUAAUGCAUAACCCCAAAACGAUAGUGGUAAAUCGGUAAGAGACAUCAUAGAUCGCACCAUAUCUAAUAAAGUACGGUCACGAUGUUCGGACACACCAUUACACUGUGGUGUUCCAGGUGGCGUGAGUUGCGAAACUAUUCCACAUUGUUUCAAAUGAAGACCAAACUCAUAACUCAAAUAUUCACUUCCACAAUCAGAUCGUAGAAACUUUAUUUUCUUGUUAUGAUGAUUUUCUACUUCACUCUGAAAUUCUUUGAACUUUUCAAAUGUUUCAGACUUAUGUUUCAUUAAGUAGAUAUACCUAUAUCUACUCAAAUCAUCUAUGAAGGUCAGAAAAUAAUGAUACCCGCCGCGAGCAUCAACACUCAUCGGACCGCAUACAUCAGUAUGUAUUAUUUCCAAUAAGUCAGUUGCUCGCUCCAUUGUUCCGGAGAAUGGAGUCUUAGUCAUCUUGCCCAUGAGGCAUGAUUCGCAAGCAUCAAGUGAUUCAUAAUCAAGUGAUUCCAAAAGCCCAUCAGCAUGGAGUUUCUUCAUGCGCUUUACACCAAUAUGACCUAAACGGCAGUGCCACAAAUAAGUUCCACUAUCAUUAUUAACUUUGCAUCUUUUGGCUUCAAUAUUAUGAAUAUGUGUAUCACUACGAUCGAGAUUCAAUAAACCAUUUACAUUGGGUGUAUGACCAUAGAAGGUAUUAUUCAUGUAAACAGAAUAACAAUUAUUCUUUGACUUAAAUGAAUAACCGUAUCGCAAUAAACAUGAUCCAAUCAUAUUCAUGCUCAACGCAAACACCAAAUAACAUUUAUUUUAGGUUCAACACUAAUCCCGAAGGUAAAGGGAGUGUGCGAUGGUGAUCUUAUCAACCUUGGAAUCACUUCCAACACACAUCGUCACCUUGCCCUUAACUAGUCUCUAUUUAUUUUGCAACUCCUGUUUCGAGUUACUAUCUUAGCAACUGAACCAGUAUCAAAUACUGAGGGGUUGCUAUAAACACUAGUAAAGUACACAUCAAUAACAUGUAUAUCAAAUAUACCUUUGUUCACUUUGCCAUCCUUCUUAUCCGCCAAGUAUUUGGGGCAGUUCCGCUUCCAGUGACCAUUUCCUUUGCAGUAGAAGCACUCAGUUUCAGGCUUGGGUCUAGCUUUGGGCUUCUUCAUGGGAGUGGCAACUUGCUUGCCAUUCUUUCUUGAAGUUCCCUUUCUUUCCCUUGCCCUUUUACUUGAAACUAGUGGUCCUGUCGACCAUCAACAUUUGAUGCUUUUCUUGAUUUCUACCUUCGCCGAUUUUAGCAUUGCGAAGAGCUCGGGAAUCUUUAGUCAUCCCUUGCAUAUUAUAGUUCACCACGAAGUUCCAGUAACUUGGUGAUAGUGACUAGAGAAUUCUGUCAAUCACUAUUUUAUCUGGAAGAUUAACUCCCACUUGAUUCAAGCGAUUGUAGUACUCAGACAUUCUGAGCACAUGCUCACUGGUUGAGCUAUUGUCCUCCAUCUUGUAGGCGAAGUACUUGUCAGAGGUCUCAUACCUCUCGAUUCAAGCAUGAGUCUGAAAUACCAAUUUCAACUCUUGGAACAUAUUAUAUGCUCCAUGGCGUUCAAAACGUUUUUGAAGUCUCGGUUUUAAGCCGUAAAGCAUGGUGCACUAAACUAUCAAGUAGUCAUCAUACCGAGCUUGUCAAACGUUCAUAACGUCUGCAUCUGCUCCUGCAAUAAGUCUGUCACCUAGCGGUGCAUGAAGGACAUAAUUCUUCUGUGCAGCAAUGAGGAUAAUCCUCAGAUCAUGGGCCCAGUCCGCAUCAUUGCUACUAUCAUCUUUCAACAUAGUUUUUCUCUAGGAACAUAUCAAAAAUAAACGGGGAGCUACAUCGCGAGCUAUUGAUCUACAACAUAGUUAUGCAAAUACUAUCAGGACUGAGUUCAUGAUAAAUUAAAGUUCAAUUAAUCAUAUUACUUAAGAACUCCCACUUAGAUAGACAUCCCUCUAAUCAUCUAAGUGAUCACGUGAUCCAUAUCAACUAAACCAUGUCCGAUCAUCACGUGAGAUGGAGUAGUUUUACAUGGUGAACAUCACUAUGUUGAUCAUAUCUACUAUAUGAUUCACGCUCGACCUUUCGGCCUCAGUGUUCCGAGGCCAUAUCUGCAUAUGCUAGGCUCGUCAAGUUUAACCCGAGUAUUCUGCGUGUACAAAACUGGCUUGCACCCGUUGUAUGUGAACGUAGAGCUUAUCACACCCGAUCAUCACGUGGUGUCUCGGCAUGACGAAAUGUAGCAACGGUGCAUACUCAGGGAGAACACUUAUACCUUGAAAUUUAGUGAGAGAUCAUCUUAUAAUGCUACCACCGAACUAAGCAAAAUAAGAUGUAUAAUGGAUAAACAUCGCAUGCAAUCAAAAUAUGUGACAUGAUAUGGCCAUCAUCAUCUUGUGCUCAUGAUCUCCAUCACCAAAGCAUCGUUAUGAUCUCCACUGUCACCGGCGCGACACCUUGAUCUCCAUCGUAGCAUCAUUGUCGUCUCGCCAACUAUUGUUUCUACGACUAUCGCUACCGCUUAGUGAUAAAGUAAAACAAUUACAUGGCGAUUGCAUUGCAUACAAUAAAGCGACAACCAUAUGGCUCCUGCCAGUUGCCGAUAACUCUGUUACAAAACAUGAUCAUCUCAUACAACAAUUUAUAUAUGAUCACGUCUUGACCAUAUCACAUCACAACAUGCCCUGAAAAACAAGUUAGAUGUCCUCUACUUUGUUGUUGCAAGUUUUACGUGGCUGCUACGGGCUUAGCAAGAACCGUUCUUACCUACGCAUCAAAACCACAAUGAUUUUUUGUCAAGUGUGUUGUUUUAACCUUCAACAAGGACCGGGCGUAGCCACACUUGAUUCAACUAAAGCUGGAGAAACAGACACCCACUAGCCACCUGUGUGUGAAGCACGUCGGUAGAACCAGUCUCAUGAACGCGGUCAUGUAAUGUCGGUCUGGGCCGCUUCAUCCAACAAUACCGCCGAAUCAAAGUAUGACAUGCUGGUAAGCAGUAUGACUAUUAUCGCCCACAACUCUUUGUGUUCUACUCGUGCAUAUAACAUCUAUGCAUAGACCUGGCUCUGAUACCACUGUUGGGGAAUGUAGUAUUUCAAAAAAAUCCUACGAUCACGCAAGAUCUAUCUAGAAGAAGCAUAGCAACGAGCGGGGAGAGUGUGUCCACGUACCCUCGUAGACCGAAAGCGGAAGCGUUAAGUAACGCGGUUGAUGUAGUCCAACGUCUUCGCGAUCCAACCGAUCAAGUACCGAACGCACGGCACCUCCGCGAUCUGCACACGUUCAGCUCGAUGACGUCCCUUGAACUCUAGAUCCAGCUGAGGCCGAGGGAGAGUUCCGUCAGCACGACGGCGUGGUGACGGUGAUGAUGAAGUUACCGGCGCAGGGCUUCGCCUAAGCACUACGACGAUCCGACCGAGAUAGAAAACUGUGGAGGGGACGCCGCACACGGCUAGGAACAGUUGAUGUGUGUUCUAGGGGUGCCCUCCCCAUGUGUAUAAAGGAGGGAGAGGGAGGGAGGCAGCCUAUGGCGUGCCCAAGUAGGAGGAAUCCUACUUGGGCCCCUAGUCCAAUCCCCCCCCCUUACCAUAUUUGGACAAGGGGGAAAGGAAGGAGGGGGGAGGGGAAGGAAGUAGGAGUCCUACUUCAUACUUUCCUUUUCCUCCUCUCCUUUCCCUUUCUCCCCACGUGGCUGGCCCAAUAGGGGCGCACCAGCCCCUUGUGGGCUGGUGUGUUCCCUUACUUGGCCCAUAAAGCCCAUAUCUUUGCCGGGGGUUGCCCGGAACCCCUUCCGGUGACCCGGUAUCACCCGGAACACUUCCGGCGUCUGAAUAUGGCCUUCCAAUAUAUGAAUCUUUACCUCUCGACCAUUUCGAGACUCCUCGUCAUAUCCGUGAUCUCAUCCGGGACUCCAAACAAACUUCGGUCAUCAAAUCACAUAACUCAUAAUACAAAUCGUCAUCGAACGUUAAGCGUGCGGACCCUACGGGUUCGAGAACUAUGUAGACAUGACCGAGACACAUCUCCAGUCAAUAACCAAUAGUGGAACCUGGAUGCUCAUAUUGGCUCCUACAUAUUUUACGAAGAUCUUUAUCGGUCAAACCGCAUAACAACAUACGUUGUUCCCUUUGUCGUCGGUAUGUUACUUGCCCGAGAUUCGAUCGUCGGUAUCCUCAUACUGUGACACCCAAAAUUUUAUUUGGCUUUUUCAAAACUUUUCCUUGUUUUGAGGGAGGUGAUUUGAAUUUUCUUUCUAAAAGAACUCUCCCUCUCAAAAUAUUUUCUUUUAUGACUAGUGCUUCAUUUUUGGAUUCACUCAAAACUUGAUUUCUGGUCUUGGAGGUUUUCUUUUUUUAUUUGGACUCAAACCAAAAUGUUUUUCUCUUGGAAAAAUGCCUUUUAAAAAUUUCUUUGAAAAGGCCCUAUAGCUUUUGGAAUAAUCCUUUACCACUUUCAACAAUUCUCUCUUGCCAUGGCCUUAGUGCAAAUCCACUCUCCUAGACCUUCCCUCAUCUUUGGAUCAUGAUUUGCAUCAAGUCCAGCAAGUUGAACCUCCCCAUAUGAUUAUUUUCCAUUUAAAUCUUAUCAAAACAAUUUCUGUCUCCUAUUCUAGCCCUUGGAGAUUUACAAAGGAGCUACCAUUUCUGUUUUGAUUUUUGCCCCCAAACCAAUUCCCCUUCCUAGUCCUUUGAACCCUCAACCAAGAUCCAUGAAGAUCCACUGGUCUUCAGUUCAAAUUUUUCAAACUAUACUUGCUGCAAGUUUGAACCAGAUUUGUCAAAUUUGGUGAAAUUCCUUCAAAUCUUUCUCCAAAAAUUCUGAGUAAAAUCAGGCAGCCCCUGGGUGCAUUGAGUGGUCACCUCACCAAGCCCCAGCUCCAGGAAAAAAUUUCUCCUUGCCAAAUCAUUUCGUCGAACACCUACUGGACACUGUUGCUGUCAUUGUUCAGUUAAGUUCAGAGAACAGUUCCAGUGCACUGUCGUUUUCUUCAGUGUUCGAUCUCAAUCUCGCCAGUGUCGUUGUGUCGCCUUGCUCCCCGUCCCCUCCCCCUUGUUCCUGCGCCGCACGAUCCCCUGGAGCCUUGCGGACAUCGGUGACGACCUGGAGGAGGUGCGCCGCCCCGUGACCGAUGCCAGCGGCGGCUUUGCGGCCGCCAGAGAGAGGCGCGGCGCAGACGGCGCCACCCAGCGCCGCCGAAGCCACCGGAGCUCGCCGCGUGGCCUUCCACUCCCCAGAAUGCGCUGCCACUCUCGUCGUGAACCGCUGGGCGCGGAACACGCUCUCUACCGCCGUCGUGCCCGUGCGGCCACCCCACCGUGGACCAGCGCCAUUAUGCCAAGCCCGACCCAGUUUAGCAGUGGAACGGCACCAGUAAACCUCCCUGAUGCUGCCUGGCCACUCAAACCCCCUGCUCAACCACUGCCUCGCCGUAAUCGCUCGCCGGAGAUUUCCCGUUCACGGCCAUCACCUCGAUCCGCCUAUAAAUAGAGGCCCCGAGCUCGAACUCGAACCCACACCAUCUCUGCACUCCACCUAGACCGCGCCAAGCCACUGGAAGAGCCCCGAGGGAGCCUUCUUCCCCAGCUCCGGCCGCCGCGACCCGCCACGGGAUCCAGCUCGAUUCGCUCCCGUGCGUGCACCUCUGCCUCCCAUCUCUUGCCAGUAGCUCUCUAGUGCAUCCCUCUUUCUGACCCGCGCUUCAAUUCGAGGUUUGCAGCACCCACCGGAGUUCUCCACCAUCACCCGAGCCGCCGUCCGCCGGAGAAAGUGUCGCCAUCGACGUGGUGCUCUCCGACGGUCGAGUCCACCACCCACCGACGCGGAAGGACACGCUGAAGCUCUUGGUACACUCCGAUCUCCCUGUCUCGCCGUGGUUCGACGCCGGCGACCACCGCAGUCUUCGGGCGCCGGCGAGCUUUUUAAACCUGACAUGUGGACCCCCCUGUCAGCCUCUAUUCUCUUCUCCCUCGAACCUUUUUCUGUUGGCGCCUUCGGGCAAAUACGUCUUCCCUUUGAUCUUGCGCGUUUCUUUCCGAAGCGUUUUCUGUUUUCUCAGUUAAGCCCCUGGAAAUUUUCUGUUUCAUUACAGAUGAGUCCCUGGACAGAAACCUUUAUAACUUUUUAAUAAAAAGAGAUUUUUGAGUGAUUCUUUUUUUGUCAGUCUUGUAUUUUUGUCUAGUUCUUUAUAGUAUUUAUUUGGAAAAAAAUUGGAGAAGUUUUUAUGCACGCGUUGGUUUUCACGUUAGUGCCCGUUUUCGUAUGCCGUAGGUUCCGGAAGAAGUGACGGAGCCGCGAACUUCGCCGAGCUAGACUCCGACUUCUCCGAACCAGGCAAGCAUGUUUGAACCUUUGAUAUGACAGGUGUUUUGCAUGUUUGCGUGAGAGGUUGUGCGUGGUAUCUGAGUGUCGGUGAGUACCUCGUUGCUUGUGAGGCAACUACCCGCAUGUUCCAAAGUUGCGAUGAUCUCUGGUGAGAGAUGGCCUAAUCAUGUGGUGACAUGAAGGGCAGCAAGGUGGUACUGUUGUAGCAUACCAGCCUUGCGUCAUCCGACAAAUUCCGACGUUAACGUGGACGGAGUCACGUUAUCGUUCUUCCCCCUUCCGUGCUACCACAUGUUUUCUGCCAGAAUGCGGUUUAGUAAGUUGGUAACCUCUUUCCGUGUACACACCAAAUAGAGGGGCCGGGAUGAUGGUUCCAUGGCCCUGGAUUAAAGCCAGUCAUCCGGUCAGGGGGCAUGGGUGUUUCCGGUUCGGACCGAGAGGGGGGCACCCCUUAGAGCGCACGUAUAGAAAUUUGAUCCCAUGCUACGCGAGGUUGUAGCCUCCCCGUCUCAAGGUUUUUCUUGAACGUUGCCGAGGGUGAUUCCUGGCUUCGGAAAUGUUGAAUGGGUGUGUACUGGUUAGAUGUGUUUCUUCCAAAACACCGUAAACGGAACUAGUCCCCAUGACUACAGAAAUCCGUUGGCUGUGGUUAAAGUACAAACUCUGCAGAGUCAAAUCCUUCCAAGUCAACGUAUCCAUAGUCAAGUAUCGUGAUCAGUGUAUCCAUGUCUAUGUCAUAAUCUCGUGGUAUAUCUUUCGUUCCGGUAAGCAAGCUUGAGUAGUAGACUUGGCUGAACGUUAUUCCUGUGGAUGGACUAACCCUGUUGUUUACCUCAUGUCUGCUUAUUCUCUUGAUAUGAUUUAUAAUUCAUGAGCUACUAAGUUAUGAAUAUAAGCCCUUUAUGUGAUGUCGCUCAGACGUCCGACUGUGGCAUGUUUUGUCUCUUACCUUCAAUAUAAGCCCUUUAUGUGAUGUCGCUCAGACGUCCGACUGUGGCAUGUUUUGUCCCUUACUUUCAAUAUAAGCCCUUUAUGUGAUGUCGCUCAGACGUCCGACUGUGGCACGCACUGCCUUUAUUUUUUGUUAUAGGCCCUUUAUGUGGUGUCGCCCUGACGCCCGACUGCGGCAUUAUUAUUCUUGCAGUUUCCUCUCGAGGAGUCAUUCAGACCCUCGUUUGGCACCAGUAUUAUUAUUCUUGCAGUUUCCUCUCGAGGAGUCAUUCAGACCCUCGUUUGGCACCAGUAUUAUUUUUCUUGCAGUUUCCUCUCGAGGAGUCAUUCAGACCCUCGUUUGGCACCAGUAUUAUUAUUCUUGCAGUUUCCUCUCGAGGAGUCAUUCAGAACCUCGUUUGGCACCAGUAUUAUUAUUCUUGCAGUUUCCUCUCGAGGAGUCAUUCAGACCCUCGUUUGGCACCCAGUAUUUAAUUUGGGAUUUCGGGAGGACUACCGCCCGACUUCUCUGUUAUUUUUCUCAUGCAAGUAUUGUCUCUAUGCCUGAACGCACUUGUUAUUCUGUUCUUAUGCUUCAUGUUUACAUUUGUUAUAUCUCAUGUCCGAACUGUCUUGCGAGUACUUUCAUAGUACUCACCUGGCUUGUUGAUUUGGCCAGAUGUUGACGAAGGCGAUCUCUUGGAUGAAGAGUUUGAUAGCGCGUCCGACGCCUAGAGGAGUCCCAGUCAGUCCUGUGCGAUCCCGGAUAUUGGUCACUUGUAUUAUAUAUGCUUCCGCCACCCGCAAUAAGCCUCCUCGAGCCUCACUCCGACGCUCGAAGAGCUGUAGUUUUCAGGAGUCAUAUCACCCACUUCGCGGUGAUAUUUCCACCAUCGUUGUUAUCGUGAGUUAGUAGUUAUGCCACCCUGUCCGCCGUUAUGUUUUAUCGGCGUGCAUGUAAUAAAUUGUUGAGCAGUCCCCGCUCAACCUUGUAUUAUAUUCAGUACUCCUGGUAUCUUUCUUCUGUGACCGAGAUAUUGUCUACCAGUGAGAAGGAAUUCUUCCUUACUGGUCCGUAAAAGGGAUUGGUCUCUCAAUAAUUAUUUUAUUGAAAAACUGGUCGUGACAAGCUUGGUAUCAGAGCCAGGCUGACUGUAGGAAGCCACUAGGUGCGAUCGCUAAUCGGUUAUUAGCGUCUUUUGUGCUUUUUCAGCAUUUUGCAAUUGUAGCUAUUUUCUGUUGGUCAUCAUAAAUUUAUGACAUGACUACUCAGAAUUUUUGCCUACUUUUGUAGAUGGCUGGCAGCAGCUGUGAGACUCGAGUGUUCACGAACGUGCCCGAGGGGUUUGUCAAACUCCUCGUCUCCAUCACCAAGCUCGCGAUCGGGCCAGCGGCUCGUCCGGAGUUCACGCUUUAUCAACACAAGCUCAGCGACGACGUGUCUAUGCACCAAGCUGUGGUGCAAUUCAAGGGAGGACGUUCUGCAGCUCGCCACUUCCGUUUUGUGGGAAGGGCCAUACCUACGGAGAGGCAUGCCAUGCAGAUGACUGCCCGUGAGGCGAUAGCUCGUCUUCGGGACAUCCUUCCUACGAUGAAGACUCGCCGCUACCGCUACCUCCCAUGCCAUGUGCCAUAUACCAGUCACUAUGCAUUCGCCUGCCAUCGGGGAGAACGAGAUGAAGCCAUCGAGAUGGUUGUGGAGUAUCUCAAGGCUCUGGAGGAGUCUUUCAACAACCUCGUCGACGAUCUUGUGGCUGCCCGCAUGGACUUAGUCCGGGGCGGUCCUGCCAGCAGGAAGGAGCUUCUUCACACAGCACCGCCUCUGACAUUCGUCUCGUCUUCAGCCUCUUAUGCACCGGCCGUUUUAGCCACUGCUCGCCGUCUGCCUACCACUGAGGAGUUCGAUAGAGUCAUCGCUCCUAUUCCAGUCAGAGCUGCACCGCCUGUCGCCCCCGCACCAUCACCGCAGCGUAGUGUUGCGCGCCAGGAGCCAGCUAGAGAGGAGGUGGAGGUUGAAUCUCCUGGACCGCUGAGUCUUGCCCUCGGCAAGGGGAAGGACAUCGUCACCAUCUCCAACUGAGAGCGCCGAGUAGCCGCGCGUUAUGUCUGCUUGUAUAUGUGUUUUCUCUGUACGCUAGUUUGUAUUAGUGUGUUUGCUGCUUUCCGGAGGAGUACGCUAGUCUAAAUAACAUGUCAGGAAUGUGUACGCACAUCCUGAGUGCUGUAUCGUGUGUUUGCUUUUCGCGUGUAAGAUAUAUACUAAGUAGUUCUUCUCCGUGCAAAAUCGUUUAUGUUUUCUUGAAAAUCUUGAGAUCUUUAAAUUUUUGUCUUUGCAAGAUUUCCUUUGUGCCACACAGUUCUUCUCAUGAGUUUUGCAAAAUAAUACCCCCAGACUGGAAAAAUGUCUCGCCCGUGGACUCGCUCCAUGCCCAAUCAGCCAGAAGAAGUUUAUGGGACACAGACUAGCAACAACUUCACUCAGGGACAGUCCAGUCAACAAGACAGCGAAGCAGCCUUGUCUCAAGUAUGCCGUCUCUUCGAGCAAAGCCAGCAACAGCACCAAGAGAUGAUGAAUCAUGUCAUCAAUAUGGGAAACCACCGUGAACCCUAUCAACCACAUUCCAAGUUAUCUGAGUUACAGAAGACUCGCCCUUCAACUUUUGCUCACACUGAUAGGCCGUUGGAAGCCGAUGAUUGGCUUCGUGAUAUCGAAAGGAAGCUAAUUAUUGCUCAGUGUUCAGAUCAUGAGAAGGUGCUUUAUGCACCACACUACCUUACUGGAACAGCUGCAGCAUGGUGGGAGAAUUUCUUACACAUGCAUCCCAGUGAACACAACAUCACCUGGGAAGAAUUCAAGGAAGGCUUUCGUGGGGCACACAUCCCUAGGAGCAUCAUAAAAAUCAAGAAGAGAGAAUUUGAUGACCUGAAGCAGAGAGGCAUGUCAGUGACAGAAUACAAUGGUCAGUUUACCCAGCUAUCCUGUUAUGCCUACGACGAGCAUAUGACUGAGAGCAAGAAGAUGGAAAAAUUCCUGUACGGUCUGGCACCAGCCCUAAGAUGCCAGCUGCUGGUACACACUUUCCCGGAUUUUAAAACUCUGGUUGACAAGGCCAUCACCUUGGAGAAUGAACGCCGCAGCCUGGGAGAUAUCCGUAAGCGGAAAAGGGAUAAGACGACCCUCGCUCGCAACAACCGAAGCAAGACUGAGAUCCCAAGGACAGAAGCAAGGAAAUCCACGACUACUGAUCUAAGGCCCGUCAGGCAGUUUCAUGCCAGGGACAAGGAGUUCACGUACCAUCCAGGGGUCACCUGCUAUGCUUGUGGUGAAGAAGGGCACUAUGCUAAACAAUGCCCAAAGCCGAGGAACUCGGCCCCCAAGCCGAACAAUGGUGGAAACAAUCCAGCCCCCAAGCGCAACAAUUUCAAUCCCAACAACAACCACAAGAAGGGUCACCUGAACCAUGUGACCAGGGAAGAAGCGCAGAAUGCCCCAGGCAUCGUGCUAGGUACGUUCCCUAUCAACGCAGUACCCGCCACGGUUUUGUUUGAUUCUGGAGCUUCCCAUUCGUUCGUUUCGAAGAGUUUUGUUUUGCAACAUGGUUUUCCGAUACUUCCCUUAGAAAAAUCUAUGAUCAUCAAGUCCCCCGGAAAUAAGCAAAUCGCUCAGAGUUACUGCCAAGGAGUAAUCAUUGAGUUCGAAGGACUACAGUUCCAAGCAAACCUCAUCGUGUUGGAAAAUAAAGGACUGGAUGUCAUUUUAGGGAUGGACUGGUUAACCACCAACAAAGGAUUCAUUGACUGUUUCAAUCGGACCGUGAUUCUCACUCAUCAUCACGGCAAGACUAUAAAGGUUACAGCUCAAGAAAGGCCACGGUCACAGCAACCAAAAUUGAACAAAAUGGACAUUUCAGAAUUGAGAAAAGUUCCAGUGGUAUGCGAGUUUCCUGACGUAUUUCCUGAAGAACUACCAGGCAUGCCACCAGACCGAGAGAUAGAAUUCAGCAUCGAACUAGCACCUGGCACCGCUCCCAUCUAUAAGAAACCUUAUAGAAUGGCACCCUCAGAAUUGGUGGAGUUGAAGAAGCAGAUAAAGGAAUUAUUGGACAAAGGAUUUAUUCGAGCCAGCUCCUCACCAUGGGGUUCGCCAGUGUUGUUCGCCAAGAAAAAGGAUGGGACACUGAGACUGUGUAUAGACUAUCGAGCCCUCCAUAUGGUCACCAUCAAAAACAAAUAUCCGAUGCCACGGAUAAAUGAUUUGUUUGACCAGCUCGCACAAGCCAAGGUGUUCUCAAAAAUUGAUUUGAGAUCGGGAUAUCAUCAACUAAAAGUACGGAAAGAAGAUAUCCCUAAAACAGCAUUCACCUCCAGAUACGGAUUAUAUGAAUUCACAGUGAUGCCUUUUGGUCUAACAAACGCCCCCGCAUAUUUCGUCCACCUCAUGGACAAAGUGUUCAUGAAAUUCAUGGACAAAUUUGUUGUGGUGUUCAUCGACAAUAUUCUGGUAUACUCAAGGACACCAGAAGAGCAUGCUGAGCAUCUCAGAAUUGUUUUGGGAGAAUUGAGGAAGCAUCAGUUGUAUGCCAAAUUUAGCAAGUGUGAAUUUUGGCUAAGACAAGUUGGUUUCCUAGGCCAUAUUUUGAACCAAGAAGGCGUGGCCGUAGACCCAGAAAAAGUCAAAGCCAUACUUGACUGGAAGCCACCCGCCAACGUUACAGAUGUGCGGAGUUUCCUGGGAAUGGCCGGAUACUACAGAAGAUUUAUUGAAGGAUUCUCCACUGUGGCAAAACCAAUAACACAGUUGCUCAAGAAAGACAAGAAAUUUGUAUGGACAGAAGCAUGCGAGAAGAGCUUCCAAGAAAUUAAGAAGAAGCUGACAACCGCACCGGUCUUAACUGUGCCAGACAUACACAAGAGUUUUGAAGUGUAUUGUGACGCGUCCCGAAAAGGUCUCGGAUGUGUACUAAUGCAGGAUGGCAAAGUUGUCGCGUAUGCCUCCAGGCAGCUGCGAAAACAUGAGGAAAAUUACCCAACACAUGACUUGGAGCUAGCAGCAGUCAUUCAUGCACUCAAGGAGUGGAGGCACUUCCUGUUGGGAAAUCGCUGUGAAAUAUAUACGGACCAUAAGAGCCUCAAAUAUAUUUUCACACAGCCAGAGCUAAAUUUACGCCAACGACGCUGGUUGGAAUUGGUCAAGGACUAUGAUGUCGGCAUUCACUACCAUCCAGGGAAAGCAAAUGUAGUGGCUGAUGCCCUUAGUCGAAACCCCAGCCCGGACAACGACGGUCCGCAAAACUUGAGGCCUGAGUUUCAGCAAGAGUUCGCUAGGCUCAACAUGGUGUUAGUCUCUGAGGGCACCGUAUCAAAUCUGGAGAUACAACCCACCCUAGUGGAACAAAUCAAGAAAGCUCAACAGGGACAUCCCAGCAUCGAAGGUAUAAAGAAGAAAAUGAACCUUGGUAAGGCUUCAAAGUUCGUCACAGACAGUGAAGGAAUAUUAUGGUACGGAGACAGACUUUGCGUACCUAACAUUGAGGAACUCAAGCAACAAAUCCUAACCGAGAGCCACACCGCUCCAUACUCGAUCCAUCCUGGAGGAACCAAAAUGUACAAAGACAUUCAGGAAAGAUUUUGGUGGCACGGUAUGAAAAGGAUAUAGCCGCAUUUAUUGCUUGUUGCGAUUCAUGUCAGCGCAUCAAGGCCGAGCAUCAAAAGCCAGCAGGGCUACUCCAGCCAAACAGGAUACCGGAGUGGAAAUGGGAUGAAAUAGGAAUGGAUUUCAUCGUCGGACUACCCCGAUCACAAUGCGGAAAUGACGCCAUAUGGGUCAUCACAGACCGACUAACCAAGGUUGCUCAUUUCAUUCCCGUGAAGACUACCUACUCCACACAAAGACUGGCCAAACUUUAUCUCUCCCGUAUAGUUUGCUUGCAUGGGGUCCCAAAGACUAUAAUAUCCGACCGAGGCACCCAAUUUGUCUCCAAAUUUUGGGAUCACCUACAACAAGCUCUGGGCACGCAACUAGCAUUCAGUACAGCGUACCACCCUCAGACAGAUGGACAAACAGAACGAGUAAACCAAAUCCUAGAGGAUAUGCUAAGAGCCUAUGUGCUCACCUAUGGGUCCAGUUGGGAAGAGAGUUUGCCAUAUGCCGAGUUUGCUUACAACAACAGUUACCAAGCCAGCUUGCAAAUGGCACCCUUUGAAGCAUUGUACGGACAGAGGUGUCGUACCCCACUGAAUUGGUCAGAAACAGGUGACAGCCGUAUCUUCGGCCCAGACAUGCUUAAAGAGGCCGAGGAGAAAGUUAAGCAGAUCAGGGACAGACUCAAGACAGCGCAGAGCCGACAAAAGAGCUACUACGAUCAAAAACAUCGUGAAGUCAGCUUUGAACCCGGUGAUUCCGUAUACCUACGAGUGUCUCCUAUGAGGGGCAUGCAACGGUUCAAAAUUAAGGGGAAGCUAGCCCCAAGAUUUAUUGGACCAUUCCGUGUAGUCGCACGAAGAGGCACAGUAGCCUACAAACUAGACCUACCCAAGGAGCUGUCAGACGUCCAUGACAUGUUCCACGUCUCUCAACUGAGAAAAUGUGUAAGUAACCCGGAGAAGCAUGUACCUCAUGAAAGCAUGGAUGUGCAACCAGACCUCACCUACAGAGAGCGGCCAGUAAAGAUUUUGGAAGAGUCUGAAAGGAGGACCCGUCAGAAAACAACUAAAUUUUUCAAAGUCCAGUGGAGCAAUCACACCGAGGAUGAAGCUACAUGGGAAAGGGAAGAUUUCCUUCAGGCAGAAUACCCAUAUCUAUUUGAGGAUCAGCAGAAAUCUCGAGGACGAGAUUUUUCCUAAGGGGGUAGGUGUUGUGACACCCAAAAUUUCAUUUGGCUUUUUCAAAACUUUUCCUUGUUUUGAGGGAUGUGAUUUGAAUUUUCUUUCUAAAAGAACUCUCCCUCUCAAAAUAUUUUCUUUUAUGACUAGUGCUUCAUUUUUGGAUUCACUCAAAACUUGAUUUCUGGUCUUGGAGGUUUUCUUUUUUUAUUUGGACUCAAACCAAAAUGUUUUUCUCUUGGAAAAAUGCCUUUUAAAAAUUUCUUUGAAAAGGCCCUAUAGCUUUUGGAAUAAUCCUUUACCACUUUCAACAAUUCUCUCUUGCCAUGGCCUUAGUGCAAAUCCACUCUCCUAGACCUUCCCUCAUCUUUGGAUCAUGAUUUGCAUCAAGUCCAGCAAGUUGAACCUCCCCAUAUGAUUAUUUUCCAUUUAAAUCUUAUCAAAACAAUUUCUGUCUCCUAUUCUAGCCCUUGGAGAUUUACAAAGGAGCUACCAUUUCUGUUUUGAUUUUUGCCCCCAAACCAAUUCCCCUUCCUAGUCCUUUGAACCCUCAACCAAGAUCCAUGAAGAUCCACUGGUCUUCAGUUCAAAUUUUUCAAACUAUACUUGCUGCAAGUUUGAACCAGAUUUGUCAAAUUUGGUGAAAUUCAUUCAAAUCUUUCUCCAAAAAUUCUGAGUAAAAUCAGGCAGCCCCUGGGUGCAUUGAGUGGUCACCUCACCAAGCCCCAGCUCUAGGAAAAAUUUUCUCCUUGCCAAAUCAUUUCGUCGAACACCUACUGGACACUGUUGCUGUCAUUGUUCAGUUAAGUUCAGAGAACAGUUCCAGUGCACUGUCGUUUUCUUCAGUGUUCGAUCUCAAUCUCGCUAGUGUCGCUGUGUCGCCUUGCUCCCCGUCCCCUCCCCCUUGUUCCUGCGCCGCACGAUCCCCUGGAGCCUUGCGGACGUCGGUGACGAGCUGGAGGAGGUGAGCCGCCCCGUGACCGAUGCCAGCGGCGGCUUUGCGGCCGCCAGAGAGAGGCGCGGCGCAGACGGCGCCACCCAGCGCCGCCCAAGCCACCGGAGUUCGCCGCGUGGCCUUCCACUCCCCAGAACGCACUGCCACUCUCGUCGUGAACCGCUGGGCGCGGGGCGCGCUCUCUGCCGCCGUCGUGCCCGUGCGGCCACCCCACCGUGGACCAGCGCCAUUAUGCCAAGCCCGACCUAGUUUAGCAGUGGAACGGCACCAGUAAACCUCCCUGAUGCUGCCUGGCCACUCAAACCCCCUGCUCAACCACUGCCUCGCCGUAAUCGCUCGCCGGAGAUUUCCCGUUCACGGCCAUCACCUCGAUCCGCCUAUAAAUAGACGCCCCGAGCUCGAACUCGAACCCACACCAUCUCUGCACUCCACCUAGACCGCGCCAAGCCACUGGAAGAGCCCCGAGGGAGCCUUCUUCCCCAGCUCCGGCCGCCGCGACCCGCCACGGGAUCCAGCUCGAUUCGCUCCCGUGCGUGCACCUCUGCCUCCCAUCUCUUGCCAGUAGCUCUCUAGUGCAUCCCUCUUUCUGACCCGCGCUUCAAUUCGAGGUUUGCAGCACCCACCGGAGUUCUCCACCAUCACCCGAGCCGCCGUCCGUCGGAGAAAGUGUCGCCAUCGACGUGGUGCUCUCCGACGGUCGAGUCCACCACCCACCGACGCGGAAGGACACGCUGAAGCUCUUGGUACACUCCGAUCUCCCUGUCUCGCCGUGGUUCGACGCCGGCGACCACCGCAGUCUUCGGGCGCCGGCGAGCUUUUUAAACCUGACAUGUGGACCCCCCCUGUCAGCCUCUAUUCUCUUCUCCCUCGAACCGUUUUCUGUUGGCGCCUUCGGGCAAAUACGUCUUCCCUUUGAUCUUGCGCGUUUCUUUCCGAAGCGUUUUCUGUUUUCUCAGUUAAGCCCCUGGAAAUUUUCUGUUUCAUUACAGAUGAGUCCCUGGACAGAAACCUUUAUAACUUUUUAAUAAAAAGAGAUUUUUGAGUGAUUCUUUUUUUGUCAGUCUUGUAUUUUUGUCUAGUUCUUUAUAGUAUUUAUUUGGAAAAAAAUUGGAGAAGUUUUUAUGCACGCGUUGGUUUUCACGUUAGUGCCCGUUUUCGUAUGCCGUAGGUUCCGGAAGAAGUGACGGAGCCGCGAACUUCGCCGAGCUAGACUCCGACUUCUCCGAACCAGGCAAGCAUGUUUGAACCUUUGAUAUGACAGGUGUUUUGCAUGUUUGCGUGAGAGGUUGUGCGUGGUAUCUGAGUGUCGGUGAGUACCUCGUUGCUUGUGAGGCAACUACCCGCAUGUUCCAAAGUUGCGAUGAUCUCUGGUGAGAGAUGGCCUAAUCAUGUGGUGACAUGAAGGGCAGCAAGGUGGUACUGUUGUAGCAUACCAGCCUUGCUUCAUUCGACAAAUUCCGACGUUAAUGUGGACGGAGUCACUUUAUCGUUCUUCCCCCUUCCGUGCUACCACAUGUUUUCUGUCAGAAUGCGGUUUAGUAAGUUGGUAACCUCUUUCCGUGUACACACCAAAUAGAGGGGCCGGGAUGAUGGUUCCAUGGCCCUAGAUUAAAGCCAGUCAUCCGGUCAGGGGGCAUGGGUGUUUCCGGUUGGGACCGAGAGGGGGGCACCCCUUAGAGCGCGCGUAUAGAAAUUUGAUCCCAUGCUACGCGAGGUUGUAGCCUCCCCGUCUCAAGGUUUUUCUUGAACGUUGCCGAGGGUGAUUCCUGGCUUCGGAAAUGUUGAAUGGGUGUGUACUGGUUAGAUGUGUUUCUUCCAAAACACCGUAAACGGAACUAGUCCCCGUGACUACAGAAAUUCGUUGGCUGUGGUUAAAGUACAAACUCUGCAGAGUCAAAUCCUUCCGAGUCAACAUAUCCAUAGUCAAGUAUCGUGAUCAGUGUAUCCAUGUCUAUGUCAUAAUCUCGUGGUAUAUCUUUCGUUCCGGUAAGCAAGCUUGAGUAGUAGACUUGGCUGAACGUUAUUCCUGUGGAUGGACUAACCCUGUUGUUUACCUCAUGUCUGCUUAUUCUCUUGAUAUGAUUUAUAAUUCAUGAGCUACUAAGUUAUGAAUAUAAGCCCUUUAUGUGAUGUCGCUCAGACGUCCGACUGUGGCAUGUUUUGUCUCUUACCUUCAAUAUAAGCCCUUUAUGUGAUGUCGCUCAGACGUCCGACUGUGGCAUGUUUUGUCCCUUACUUUCAAUAUAAGCCCUUUAUGUGAUGUCGCUCAGACGUCCGACUGUGGCAUGCACUGCCUUUAUUUUCUGUUAUAGGCCCUUUAUGUGGUGUCGCCCUGACGCCCGACUGCGGCAUUAUUAUUCUUGCAGUUUCCUCUCGAGGAGUCAUUCAGACCCUCGUUUGGCACCAGUAUUAUUAUUUUUGCAGUUUCCUCUCGAGGAGUCAUUCAGACCCUCGUUUGGCACCAGUAUUAUUAUUCUUGCAGUUUCCUCUCAAGGAGUCAUUCAGACCCUCGUUUGGCACCAGUAUUAUUAUUCUUGCAGUUUCCUCUCGAGGAGUCAUUCAGACCCUCGUUUGGCACACAGUAUUUAAUUUGGGAUUUCGGGAGGACUACCGCCCGACUUCUCUGUUAUUUUUCUCAUGCAAGUAUUGUCUCUAUGCCUGAGCGCACUUGUUAUUAUGUUCUUAUGCUUCAUGUUUACAUUUGUUAUAUCUCAUGUCCGAACUGUCUUGCGAGUACUUUCAUAGUACUCAGCUGGCUUGUUGAUUUGGCCAGAUGUUGACGAAGGCGAUCUCUUGGAUGAAGAGUUUGAUAGCGCGUCCGACGCCUAGAGGAGUCCCAGUCAGUCCUGUGCGAUCCCGGAUAUUGGUCACUUGUAUUAUAUACGCUUCCGCCACCCGCAAUAAGCCUCCUCGAGCCUCACUCCGACGCUCGAAGAGCUGUAGUUUUCAGGAGUCAUAUCACCCACUUCGCGGUGAUAUUUCCACCAUCGUUGUUAUCGUGAGUUAGUAGUUAUGCCACCCUAUCCGCCGUUAUGUUUUAUCGGCGUGCAUGUAAUAAAUUGUUGAGCAGUCCCCGCUCAACCUUGUAUUAUAUUCAGUACUCCUGGUAUCUUUCUUCUGUGACCGAGAUAUUGUCUACCAGUGAGAAGGAAUUCUUCCUUACUGGUCCGUAAAAGGGAUUGGUCUCUCAAUAAUUAUUUUAUUGAAAAACCGGUCGUGACACAUACCUAGUUCAAUCUUGUUACCGGCAAGUCUCUUUACCCGUUCCAUAAUGCAUCAUCCCGCAACUAACUCAUUAGUCACAUUGCUUGCAAGGCUUAUAGUGAUGUGCAUUACCGAGAGGGCCCAGAGAUACCUCUCCGAUACACGGAGUGACAAAUCCUAAUUUCGAUCUAUGCCGACCCAACAAACACCUUCGGAGACACCUGUAGAGCAUCUUUAUAAUCACCCAGUUACGUUGUGAUGUUUGAUAGCACACAAGGUGUUCCUCCGGUAUUCGGGAGUUGCAUAAUCUCGUAGUCAGAGGAACAUGUAUAAGUCAUGAAGAAAGUAAUAGCAAUAAAACUUAACGAUCAUAAUGCAAAGCUAACGGAUGGGUCUUUUCCAUCACAUCAUUCUCCUAAUGAUGUGACCCCAUUCAUCAAAUGACAACACAUGUCUAUGGUUAGGAAACAUAACCAUCUUUGAUAAACGAGCUAGUCAAGUAGAGGCAUAUUAGGGACACUUAUGUUUUGUCUAUGUAUUCACACAUGUACUAAGUUUCCGGUUAAUACAAUUCUAGCAUGAAUAAUAAACAUUUAUCAUGAAAUAAGGAAAUAAAUAAUAACUUUAUUAUUACCUCUAGGGCAUAUUUCCUUCAAUUAUAAUUUGGGCUAAUGUGUGGCUUUUGCAGCUCAGGGCUAAAUACUUGUCAUAAUGUAGGGGGCGGGGCACUAUACUUUGUGUGAUAAACACGGUGUACGUAUGGAACAUGGUUUAGAUUAUGAAUAUCUAGUUAGUACAUCAAAUGUACUAUUAUUUGGAAUCAACAUCAAGUGUAUUCAAAAAAUUGAAUUCGAAUUCAUAUAGUACACAUAGUUCAUAUCUAUCUCUAUAGUAAUCAUGUGGUGUGUUGUUAAGGUAAUACACGAAUGAUGGUUGAAGUUGGCAACAAACAUGAUUGUAGAUUCUUAUUGAAAUAGAGAAACGAAUUCAAAUUCAGUUCGAAUGUCAGUGGUAGUAUAGACAUUUGGAAUGCACUAAAAUGUUGGUAUGAGUAGGUUACAUGCAUUAGUCUUGCCAUAGUGGGAGUAACAUAACCGGUAACAUGCACUUGAGACUAGCAAACAUGCUUAUGUGGCACAUAAUUAAAGAAGAGAGACAGGAUUAGAGUAACAUAGGUAGAUAUCGUAUCAUGUUAAAUGCUAUGCUACUUUGUGUCAUGCAUGGCAAUAAAUAUGAUCAUCUAUGAUACUACUUUAUGAUACUAUGCAUUAUGGAGGUAGUAUCAUACACUAGUAUCAUAUGCAUGAUACUAGUAUAUGAUACUCCCCACUAUGAGUAGCCUUAUACAGCCAGCAAAAAAUUAGUUGGACAUAACAUGGAUUCAUAGCUUUGAAUAGCAUUUGUAUAGUAAAACGGGACAAGACUCUCUCUUUGUAUGGUGUGAAUAGUUUUAUUUUUUUGGUUUUUUUUUGGUUGAGGGAAGUGCGAAUUGAUUUGGUAUGUACAAGUACAAUAUUACACGUUAGGCUUGUCCCUAAAAUUUAACCCGCGCCUUGUUAUAUCCCAAAAUUUCGGAUAUUGUGCUCCCAAAACUGGCGCCUUCACAACCCGCGCCUUGCUAUCCCAAAAUUACAACGCGCGAAAACUCCCUCCAGCUGCCAAAUCCCGACACUCGAAAUCCCCCUUCUAACCCUGAGCUGAAAGGGCCGCUAGUUCAAAUCGGUGGGGGUACUUUUGUAACACACCCUACAUUUUGGACAAGCGCGUCCCUAAGUCAUGGUUCCCCCCUCCCAUCGCCUCCUUUUCACCAUUCGAAAUCGCAAGCCACCAUAACCUCUCCGCUCAAACCGCGAAACCCCGCCGUCCUUCGUCCGCCACCUCAUCGCUGCCCAGUCGAAGCCUCUUCCCCGACGACGUCGUCCACCGCAACAGCUCGACGUCCCUCAUCCACCUCCCCGGAUGAGGAUCCGUCGUCCAUCUCAUCGUCCCGCAGGUUCAGCCGCCCCGUCCUCCACCUCCAAGGAGCUGCUCCAACGAUCGCCUCGUCUAUUGCGGCUGCUCCAUCCCCACAGCGCCGCCUUAACCUGCUCCACCAGAACCGCAUCAUUCUCACCGACUCCUCGGACAAAGCCGAGGCCUACUCGGCGCCACCAAAGAGGUUGUACACUCAUCGCAUCGCACCUUCUCCUUAACUCGACCUCCCGGCGCUGACGGUGCUCCAUCUCACACCCCCAUGGAGCGGCUACCUCGAAGUCGGCGCCGCGGCCAACAUCUCCACGGCGGCUCUCCCCCAGUGCGAGGCCCCUCCGGUGGCGGCGUCCAUACCAGCCGGAUCUGCUGCUGCUGCUCUGGCUCUCGCUCGCUCGCUCGCUCUGCUGCUGCUGCUCUCCCUCUCGCUUGUGCUGUUGAUCUGCUCUGAUUUAGCUACACUUCAGUCGACUGAAUCGACUUUUGGGUCAGUCGAUUUUCAGGGGGUGGGGGGCUCGCCGGAGUUAAGGAAGAACCACCUGCAGCGGGGAGGGGGGCUGACCGGAGAGGUACCCCACUAUCUAUCUUAGGGUUCAGGGUGGGGGCAGUGGUCGCCGGUGGUGGGGCGCGAUGGUGGGGCGAUGGCGUGGGGAUCACCGGAGAAAAAGCUCGGCGCGGGGGGGCUAGAGGGCUGGCCAAGGCGGCGGCGGACUGGUGGUGGGGAGUUGUUUCGGGGCAGCGAGGCGGCGGCGGACCGGCGGUGGGGGGUUGUCCUGGGGCGGUGAGGCGGCGCGGGGGCCGGCAGUUCGGCUGGUGGUGGCUGACGGCUCAGGGGGGUGCAGGUUGAAGAUGAACUGCAGGCCCUCCCUAAACUACAUGUGAAGUGCCUCUCUGCUACCAUUGCGUUCAGUUUAGACAGUAACAUUCAGAUUCCACAGUAAAUUUCAGUUUCGACAGUUAAGUUCAGAGUCAACAGUUUUUACCUCAUCUGUUGUAGUCAGGUGGUUUUUGGUGAUGUAAAUUUUACAUCUAUCACUUUUUGGUAAUGUAUUUUACAUCAUCUAUAGGAGAUGCUAUUAGAAUCCCACUUGAGAUUAAUGAUGUAUGUCUUGUGUUGCUUCAGCCUCGACGUCUUACGGCUCACUGGAGCUGCUCCAACGACGGAACGAUCCAUCACAACAGAGCAGUGCCCUGGACGCCGUCUACAGAUUCCUCGGAUCUUCCUCCACACCUCCGACAGCCACCUCUGCCUCAACUUCUUUAGCGACCAACCCAAUGAUGUUGAGGUUGACACGGCUACGGCAAAGAGGUUGUACACUUGUCGCAUCACUUAUUACUCUACAUUCAUGUCGAUCCAUUAGGGCUAUUUUGGUUCAACGGAAAAACAUAGCAAUAGGAAAUUUUCCUAUGGCACUCUACUAUUCAAUUAUUCAUGCAUUUUGUUGAAAGGAAUGGAGCAAAACAUCCACCUGGACCUACUUUUCAAAAUCCUAUGCAUGAAAAGAAGACCAAGUGCAUUAGUGGUAGAAUAACAUUCUAACUGUACACGCUUUCAUAUGGUUUCACUUUAUUUUGGCCAUGUUUCUUUGCAUUCCUCUGCUCCUCCAAUUCCUGUGAACCAAACACCCAAGUUGACAGAAAUCCUGUGUUCACAAAUGCUCUGUUUCCCAUGUGCAUUCCUAACCUAUUCUAGUGUUUUCCUUCCUAUCCCUGCGUUUUUAGAAUCAUGCAAGCCGAAUGAGACCUUACAUAAUUACUUCAAUUAUAGGUAGGUGUCAAAGAAAACUUUGUGUGGUUUGUCCUGCUCCUGCUGCAACGCCGUUUACCUCACCUGAGUUGCUCCAUCGACAGAAGCAUCCACCAAACCAGACAUCACGACUCCUGACCUUCUUUCGCCGUCUCAGAUCUUCUUCCCUGCCGCCGGCACCCACCGCAACGGCAUCACCAUGAUCGACUCAACAGAUGAACCUGAGGAGUACACGGGUCAACAAGAGAGGUCGCACUCUUUUGCUUCUGCUUAUGUUAUGCAUUGCUUAAUAUUACCUGCUACUUUAUUGUCAUGUUCACCUCUUAGACUCCAAGCAGGUCCAAAUUGAUGUUCAAACUUGAGUUAUAAAUUAGUUGUGGGGCACAUAUCGAGGCAGCAAUGAAUAGUAUCUUUGUCUAAUAUCUGGUUCACCUAGGGUAUGCCUAUGUUGUUCAUCUUGGGUGGUAAACAAAUAGUAAAGCAAUCAUCAUUUGUUUUUUAUUAAAUUAAAGCAAUCAUCAGCCUGCUAUCAUUAUUUUUGGAUCCAUCCACUGGUUGUUACCAUUACUCUAGAUUUCUGCAUGCUCUCCUUACAUAAUCUCACUAUAUUUUUUUGUAUGCAUGUUAGAUAUUGUACACAGUCAUGUUGAACAUGUAGAGAAAAAGAGAAGAAUUUUGCGCGGCAAUACAAUGUCAUGCAGACAUCGCUCCAUGGUGGGUUCAAUGGCAAACCCUCCCCCCCCCCCUCUCCAGAUUGUAAUCCAGAGGAAGAUAUCUGUUCUGAGGCGGAUUCAGACGCAGCUGACCACUCCUAUUUACCCCCAAGGUGUUUGCUCUAACUUGGCAUGAUGAUGUUAGUCAUAUCAUGCAUAUGAUCAUAUAUGGGAAUUAUGCAGUCUCAUGUCUUUUAGCCAGCCAUAAUAUAUGUGAAAUGUGCAAUGCCAUCAUGUUUAACCAGGCAUCAUAUAUUGGAAUGAUAUCUUACCCAUCCUUUUCUUCAUUACAUUUCCAUUUGUCGACAAUGUUUGUACAUUAAACUACUCUUCCUGUGAAUCAGCCAUUUGAGUGGGUGAUGGAAAAAUCUGGAGUGAAAACAAGGCCUUCAGAGCAGACAGUGCUACCUGUCGAAGCAGAUCUCUUGCUGGGUACCGAGAGCUCCUCAGAGAUGGAUUCAGAGACAGAUGACCAGUCCUAUUCCCCCACCGAGGUGUAUGCUCUAACUUGGCACGGUUAUACUGCUCAUAUCAUGCAUAUGGUGUCUUGCAUUGCAUAGUUUAGACAUCAUAUACACAAUAUUCAACACCAUGUUCUUAGUUCAGACAUCAUAUAUGCGAAUGCCCUCUGCUUAGCAUAUAAAUCACAUAUGUGAAUUAAAUCAUACGAUCCUGAUUACUUAGAUAACAUGUAUGUGAAUUAUGUCAUGCGAGCCUGUUUAGUUAGUCAUCAUAUCACUACUAGGGAAAACCUUAUACACAGAAAUUUAGCAGUAGCGCGUGUCAAAAAUGGGCGCUAGUGCUAAAUAGCAGUAGCGCGCGUGCAAAAACCGCGCUACAGAUACAACAGUAGCAGUAGCGCGUGCACAUGAAAAAGCGCUACCACCAAUAUUCCCAUUGCUAAAACGAUAGGCUACGCAUAACAGUAGCGGUCUUGAGAGAAGCGCGCUACCGCUAGGACAUAAGUAGCAGUGCGUUUCGCGCGGAGAGCGCUACUACUAAUGGAAAUAAAAUAAAAUGGAAAACAAAUGGAAAAGUAAAUGAAAAGGAAAGAAAUAGAAAAAGGAGAAAGGAAAAAAUAAAAUGUAGAGCAAAAUAAAUGAAAAAGCGAAAAAAAAGGAGAAAGGCAUAGCAGUAGCGUUUGUUCGUAAGAGGCGCUAUAGCUAACCUAGCUGCAGUGCGUUUCCUAGACCCCCGCUGUAGAAACAGAAAGGGAAAUAAGAAAUAUGAAGGAAAUUACAUAGCUAUAGCAGUAGCGCGUUUUGUGAAAAUCGCUAUAGCUAACUUAGCUAUAGCGCGUUUCGCGAAAAGCGCUACCGCUACGUUUGACUUAACCAAAAAACCGUUUCCCCCCGGCCACCACUUCUCCCCCAAAUCCCUCGACCCACCCCGCCGUCGUCUGCCCGAUUCGUCGUCGCCCCACUUCAGCGCCGUCUCCUGCCGACGUCGACGCCCCCGGAGCCACUAGAGCCGCGUGUCGUCGACGCCACCGGAGCCGCCCCCAACGCCACCGGAGCCGCGCGGCCUCAUCAACACCACCGGAGCCACAGUCGACGCCACCGGAUCCUCCCUCGCCACAACUGCCUCCCUCGCCAUCACCGGAGANNNNNNNNNNNNNNNNNNNNNNNNNNNNNNNNNNNNNNNNNNNNNNNNNNNNNNNNNNNNNNNNNNNNNNNNNNNNNNNNNNNNNNNNNNNNNNNNNNNNNNNNNNNNNNNNNNNNNNNNNNNNNNNNNNNNNNNNNNNNNNNNNNNNNNNNNNNNNNNNNNNNNNNNNNNNNNNNNNNNNNNNNNNNNNNNNNNNNNNNNNNNNNNNNNNNNNNNNNNNNNNNNNNNNNNNNNNNNNNNNNNNNNNNNNNNNNNNNNNNNNNNNNNNNNNNNNNNNNNNNNNNNNNNNNNNNNUUUAGUUAGGAAAAGAAUUUAGUUAGGUUAAUUUAGUUAGGAAAAGAAUUUAGUUAGGUUAAUUUAGUUAGGAAAAGAAUUUAGAUAGGGCUUUGACAGAGACGCCCCUGCCUCCCUCGCCGUAGGAAAAAAUUGUAUAUGCUUGACUAGGGCUUUGACAGAGACGCCCCUGCCUCCCUCGCCACAUCUGCCUCCAUCUAUAUUUGGUUUUUGAAUUGAGUUUCUGAGAGCUUGAUAUUUGUGUAGAUUUUCUUGAAGUGUCAAACACUAGGAGAUGCAAAUUUGAAGUGGUCAUGAUAUAUGAAAAAUCCUCAAUUGUGUUUGCUCAUUCAUCAUAAUCGACAUUGAAGUGGUUCGAUUGUGCCCAAGUGGCCUUUUGUUGUUUCCAGGGAAUGAAGCCAAGUGGCCUAUGUUUUGCCGGAAUGUUGAUUCAUUUCCGUUCCGGCAAAAUUCAGGUUCUCGAUUUGUCCACUUUUUAGCAAAGGUCAUGCCAAAAUUUUCCGUGAAUUUCGACAUGACUUGUGCUACAAACUAGGACAUAUCGAGUGCCCGGGAUUUGCCGCACCGGGAAGGAGUCAACGUUCCUGCAAAACAAUAGGCCUUUUUUAUGUUAUUAUUCAUUUUAUUAGGUCUAGAAUUAAUUGACUAGAUUUAAUCGUAGGAAACAUGGCUAGCAACGAUGAAGGACAGGGUUCUGGUGAUUGCAACGACGUCUACCGGGCGGCAGACGAAUUUUUGAGCCUUGCCGACGAGACUGAGACCGGCGCUGAGACUGAGACCGGCGCUGAGACUGAGACCGGCAUCGAGACCGGCGCCGGGACUAGCGGAGCCGGUGUAGAACCGAAAGCAAAGAGGCAACGGCUUCCUAACAAGCUCAGGACUACUAGACUGGUGGUCACGGAGGUGGACGACGACAAUUUUGAGCCAAAAGCACCCCAGGAAGAGCGCGCGUGCUACGGCAAUCAAAUAGGCUGCAUCGUACGGACAACCGCCACCAUCAACGAUGAGAAACUACAGAAGAUCGAUAAUAUGAGGACCUCCCUCCUAAAGAAGUUUCACCAGAUAUUCUUGUUCCCGGGCCGGAAUGAAAAGGAUUAUAAAGAUCCAGAUAAGGACCCGACAAUGAAGAAGAUAAACAAACACGCCAUGACCAAGUUUAGCGACGCAUUGGCCGCCUGGAAAACAAGGGUGAAAGCAAGGAUCAUCGACAAGAAGGAACUCUACUCCAAGAUUGUAAAGGAUAAUCCGACAAUCACGGAAGAGCAGUUUCAAAUAUUCAAGGCGGCUUGCGAGGCCGAAGCUGCCAAAAAAAGUCUAAGUACAUGAAGGGGCUUCAACAGAGGAACAUUGGGAGCCACCACCUCAGAAGCCGUGGUUAUGGCGGGAAGAGGUCCAAAUGGGCCAAGGAGGACGCGGAAGCCGCGAGUCUGGGCAUCCCAGACCCCUUGGCGGAGUUCACCGUCCCGCAGGAGCGUGACGUCCUCAGGGCCCGGCACCGUUGGGACCCAGAGAAGAAGGUUUUUGAGACGAACGCGGUCAUGACGGAGUUCAACAGACUACUGGUAAUUUUAGUUUUUGAUCAAUUCGACUACACGUUAGUCAUAUUUGUAAAUGAUCCUUGUGCCUUUUGCAGAGAGAGCGGCACAGGAUUGCGGCCGAAAGCGACUCGCCGUCUGAGGCAUUGGCGAGGCCCAAGGGGGACACUCCAUUCAACCAGGCGUUGAACAUAUUGAAACGACUCCCGGUGGAUACUCGACCGUCGUAUGGACGCGUGCACGGUGUCGGAGACGGCGCCAUGUGGAAGAAGUACUACAGUGAGACCAAGGAGGAGAGAAAGGAAAGACAGAGGUUAACCAAAGAAAACAUCGGCAAGAAGGUUGAGAUUGCGGUUGAGAAGAAAUCAUCUCAGACAGUCGCAACAGCGGUAGCUGCCGCAAAACAGAUGGUUGUAGAUAUGUCCACUUCCUUGGUUCCGGCCGUUUUCAAUUGGACCAGGCAAAAUCCAGAAAAAAAUGCAGCGGACUUUCCCCUUGCUGACUUCUUGGGGAGCAGCUCGACUAGCGUUGCACCAGCACCUGCAGCUGCACCGGCUCCCGCACCGGACGUGCUCGGCGGUGCUUCGUCUUUGGCUGAGCUCCACGCCCUCACGGUAUCUGUCACACCGGCCCCUUCAAUAAAUGUAUAAUCUCCCGUUUUCGUUGCCUUUCGGAUGUCUCACAUUGCAGACUUUUCUUUGCAGGCCGACGAAACCCCGUGCACCAUAUUGUACACCAUCGGUGACCAGAAGGUGGACGUGGGGAAGGCGACGAUAAUGAAGCCGAAGGAACCAUUGUUCCACAGCCGGCCGAUCCCCCCGAACGUCUUCAAGGUUUCCGUGGCCAAUGUCAAACCGGGCCACGAGAAUUUGCCUCCUCUGGUACUAGGGGGGAUGACGAUGAGACCCCGCGGAGGCUUGGUGAUUGUUGCAAUGGGUGGGUCCUGUUGUGGCCAAAGAGUCUGCUUCGUGUGGAGGCGGCCGGGAGCACACCCACGAGCACGCAGCCUCAGCAAGGUAUGAACAUCAACACCCCACCUACCCAAUUAGCGUCGGGUGUCGGGUUGGGUGAUAGCGGACGGGGUAAGGAAGAGGCUCCAUUAGUCGCUGAUGACGUCGCCAUGGAUGAGGAUGAGGAUGACGAUGGCACUCAACAGUAUGUCUAUACUGGCGCCUACUCAGGGUUUGAGCGUCAUGAGUUGGUGCCUGAAUUGCCGCCUCCGGAGGCUCAACGUAUUAUAGACGACCUUCCGACAAAGAAGCCUAGGAAGAGAGCGAGGAAAGGCAAGAAAGCCGAUUCUAUGAUCCAGCCGCCUCAGCAGCCUUGGGUUCAAGACCGUAUAGAUAUCACCGGUGCGGAUAAAUUGUAUAUCCCUGGUCAACCAAUCCUACCUGCAGCAGCGCUAAAGGCCAGAUUCGGCGAUCUAAGGAGUCUUCAUGAUGAUGUGCUGCGGAUAGAGAAAGGCCUCAUCGCCUCAAAAGAUCCAGGAUACCCACUCUACGUGGUUAACGUUCCGCGGCAAUUGUCGUACGUCGACUUCUUCCCCGCGGAUAAGUUAUUCCUUCGAUUCGAUUACAUAUUCGACAUGUUUCACGUGAAGAAGCUGGAUUUUACGUUUGUCCGCCUUUAUGCCUUGCACAUGAACUACAUUAUCGGGGUUGAGCAGAUACCUCAUAUCUGUGUCGCUGACCCGUACUUCAUGCACGAGAGCUUCUUGGGAGUCUGCGCAAAGCACUGUGAAUAUGCGAGGGACUACAUAGUCAAUUUCAUGCUCGCCAAUAAGGACAAGGAGGCGAUUCUCGUGCCUUAUCAUCCCCUGUAAGUCAUCCGCGCAGAUAUCCUUCCUUUUAUUUCAAUCAUUCAUUUGCACGGUGGAGGCUAAUUAAUUUGAGGUGCACUUAUUUUGCGCAGCGGCGGGCGCGCCGUCCUCAUCAUCCUCUACCCCCGAUACUCCCACGCUCUUUACUUGGACUCGUCGAAGAACAUUAACAAAAAGGAUUACACCCACAUCAAGGAUGUUCUCGACAGUGCUAUCUAUCACUACGGCGCACGGGGUGGAGAGGUCAAGGACAAGAAGAGAAGGGACGGCAGGCCCGCCUUCGGCCAUAAGACCGACUUCUGCUGCAUCCAACAACCGAGUGAUUCUCUUAAUGAUGGAUUCUAUGUCCUACACCACAUGCUGGAGUACAGACGGGAUCACCAGAACCUUCGCAUGUCAGCUAAAUCCGGCGAUGCCCAUAUUCUGCAAUGGGCAAAGAACGUAGGAGAUAUCGAGGAUCAUCGACUUCGAGCUGAGUUCUAUCACAUCCAGCGCGAACUUGCCCAAAUCAUCAUGAAGGAGGUCAUCGGAAAAAUAGGGAUGUUCUACGAAGAAGGACAAAUGUCGUCGGAAGACGUCCGAACAUGGGUAGCCUCUCAGCGUCUCGACCUGAAGCCUUUCACUAGGCUCGGGGACUAUCUCCCUGACUUGGAUGGAUGGCAUGACAUGUUGGAGUGAUUGUCGAUAUAUGACAAUGUGUCCGUUUAGUCCAUACUUUCUGUAUGACGAAACUUUGAGUUAUGCACGACGAAACUUUAUUUGUGAUGUAAUUAAACCGUCCUCCUCGACUAGCGACGAUCACUCUAGUUAGGGCAUUUUGGGUACGAUCAACUUUGUUAUUUAUGCUUAUGAUAUGUUGCUUCUAUUUUUGCCAAGUCUGUCUCUUUCUGUUGCUCAACUAUAUAUGUUGCAUAUCAUCGACUCAUGUGACGAUGCAGGUGCAUAGAUCAUCGAUGGCAAAGAAGUGCUACGCCAGGAGUAUAUAUACGACGAGUGGCCAGAGUGUCAGGCCCAGGUGUACCGGUUUCUGGUUUCCGAGCGACAGGCAGUAGCUAGUUUAGGUUCACGCUAAUGCGAGAGAGGGAUACGAACUCAUGUACUGCAUAGUUCCUCUCUCACUCAAAGUGAUAGCUCUUCUCGCGUAUAUCAUUGUUUAGAUGGAUGACGAUGUAGUUGCAAGUAAUCGAGACUUGUAUCGCUAUUUUCGAGAUGGUGACGAGAUACCACUUUGUGUUGGAUGAUGAUUAUGAUGAGACUAUUUGUAUGUAUAUGCUAUGAUUACAUUUGUGGCCUCGCAGCCAUUUGUAUGUGUAUCAUGAUGACAUUUGUAUCUGCUAAAGAUUCUUGUAUAAAGCAUGUUCAAAUACAAAACAAAUAUGCAGGAAAAAAAACUACUAAAAUUAGCAGUAGCGAGUGGAGAAAGUUAGCAGCAGCGUGACAGUAGCAGUAGCGCAUCCAGCCCAAGCACGCUAGAGCUAUUAGCAGUAGCAGGCUUGCACGAAGCACGUUGCUGCUACACUUGUAUACCAGUAGCGCGGGCGCCCACGCGCUGCUGCUAAGUGUUAGCUGUAGCGCCUUAUUAGUAGCGCCGGUCCCCGCGCUACUAAUGUACCUAAAACCCGCGCUGCUGCUAGGCUUUUCCCUAGUAGUGUAUCUUUAAAUUAUGUUAUGCUAUGCUAUCCAGUUUAGAUAGACAUCAUAUAUGUGAAAUUAUGUCAUGCUAUCCAUUUUAGUUAAACAAUAUACAUGUCAACUAUUUCAUGCCCUCUUUUUUCCACACUAUCUAUUGCAUCUGUCUCUCAUACAAUGUCUGUACAUUCAACUAUGUUUCCUGUUUAUCAGCCAUUUGAAUUGGAGCGAGUGAUGGCAGUAUCUAGCGGAGUAAAAACACGGACUUGAAAUAAACAGUGCUACCUCUUGGUGGAGAUAGCACCCCAAUUGUACAUGCACGAGAACCAUCUCUACCACACAUAACCCAGACUCACGCAGAUUUUACCCCUACUACGGUGGAUAGAGAACCAGCUUCACCCAAUCUAACCCCAACCCCAGCAGAUAGUAACCCUGUUCCUGUUGACACAUCACCAUCUCCACCACAGAGCUCCCAAACAAGAGCAGUUAGUAAGGCAGCUCCAGUGCCCAAAGCGCCAGUACUACCACGGCGAACCCCAACUCCACCAGUUAGUACACCUAUUCCUGUGGAGGAAGCACAACCAGCCAUUCAUAGUUUAGCAUAUAUCGCAUUUGAUGUUGUUAAAUCCUACGUGCGUAUCUUCCCAUCAUGGAAAUAUUAUACUGAAGAUGAAGGAAAAUGCCAGUUGCAGGUGUUUGUCCAGGAGUUAUGUGUAAGUAAUGUUAUUCAUGGCAAUUACUUUGCUUUGUCCCAUACAUUCUACCUCCAUGAUGGUUAUAAUACAACAAUUUUUUUCCAUUUUUCUCUAUAGAGAAGGACCGAUUUGGAAACUCAGGAUGAGGUAACCUGUGUUAAUACCUCUGCUAUCUUCAAGAAUGCUUGGUGGCAGUAUCGGAAUUACCUGAAGAAAACGUACUUCACUGGCAAAGAAACUCAUCAAAUUCCCUUACCUUCUCCUGAGACACAUUUACUGGACGAUGACUGGGAACGCCUUGUUCUGUACUGGUCCCGAACCAACAAUGUGGUAAGGUCUAUGAGCUCAUUUUAUUUUAAGUACUCUAUGCUUGCGUCUUAUUGUACACUGUUCAUGUAGAACAAGUGCUUAAACCUGAAGAACAACUGCUCUCAUUUAAGAUUCCAUUGCUAUCGUGCAUACUGCUUUGCUCUUGUAUCACUGUAUUUACUCAUCCAAACUUAUUUUUAAAUUGAACGAUCCAACGGAAACUCCAAUGGCACAACAGGUAUGUUUACGCAUGUUUCUUUAACAGGUUUGCUCUUAUAAAUAGCUCUGUUGAUUUCAAUUUCAAUUGUGCAUACAGUUGACUUCUCAUAUCAUGCACAUUACUAGCAUCACAACAGGGCCAAUAGUGUUGUUGUACAUGUAGACCCGUGGUACCCAUCUGAAAUCUUAUUGUGUCGUGUAGUUUCCCAUGCUUUGUAUUCUCUCAGUGCUGCUUUCUCUUGAACUGAUAUGAUUUGAACCAUGUCUCUAUUUUGAUUUGGCAAGACAAUGCAGUGACCCUAGGACAUAGAUAUAUGUUUGUUUGAUGCUUUUAUAAUGUACUACUUGGCAAUAGAAGACUUGGUAGUUUAAUCUUGUCCACCUUACUAAUGAACCAGUUCACCAAAAUGAGUUUCAUAUACUAGUACAUGCUAAACCUGUUAUGUGUCUACUUGUUUCUUCUUUUAGAAUGCUGGCAGAAUAUUAGGGAAGAGUGCCUUAUUAAGCAAUGGUAAAGGAAGUAAUGCAGAUAAGGUUCAGAUAGUGAGACAUCCUUGUUGGUCUCCAACAAAGCUAAUAAAACAGCUAAGGAAAACUGUGUUGAAGACAGUGAGACAACCCCAAAGUCCUGUCUUGGUUUACUGUUCGAGUUACUGGCCACUACCGCUUGCACAAGCUAUUCAAACUCACUAUCUGAAUCAGUUCGGUUUCUUGAAUCUCAACUACAAGCUGAAAGUCAUCGAUCAGCUGUGCUGCAACAAGAAGCGGAAGGACUGCGGAAGUCCCUUGAGCAUUCAGAUGCAUACUUUCUGGUGCAACAGAAAGCGUUGGAGGAUUUUAGCGCCAAACAGGACAAAGCUAAUAAGCUUGCUAAACUUAUUGCCAGCAAGGUGGAUACCCAGGAUAACAUUUCUUGAGCUCUUCUGAAGUUGUUUCAGUUAUGGACUCGUUUUGCUGCCGCGUUUAUUUGCACUGGUGGCCAAUUUUGACGGCCAGUGUAUGUAAUAUGCUGCUUUGUUCCCUAUAUUUGCACUGUGUUGGAAAUAUGCCCUAGAGGCAAUAAUAAAGUGGUUAUUAUUAUAUUUCCUUGUUCGUGAUAAUUGUCUGUUGUUCAUGAUAUAAUUGUAUUAACUGGAAACCGUAAUACAUGUGUGAAUACAUAGACCAUAAUAUGUCCCUAGUAAGCCUCUAGUUGACUAGCUCGUUGAUCAAUAGAUGGUUGUGGUUUCCUGACCAUGGACAUUGGAUGUAGUUGAUAACGGGAUCACAUCAUUAGGAGAAUGAUGUGAUGGACAAGACCCAAUCCUAAGCAUACCACAAGAUCGUGUAGUUCGUUUGCUAAGAGAUUUUCUAAUGUCAAGUAUCAUUUCCUUAGACCAUGAGAUUGUGCAACUCCCGGAUACAGUAGGAAUGCUUUGGGUGUACCAAAUGUCACAACGUAACUGGGUGACUAUAAAGGUGCACUACAGGUAGCUCCGAAAGUAUCUGUUGAGUUGGCAUGAAUCGAGACUGGGAUUUGUCACUCCGUAUGACGCAGAGGCAUCUCUGGGCCCACUCGGUAAUGCAUCAUCAUAAUGAGCUCAGUGUGACUAAGGAGUUAGUCACGGGAUCAUGCGUUACGGAAUGAGUAAAGAGACUUGCCGGUAACGAGAUUGAACAAGGUAUAGGGAUACCGACGAUCGAAUCUCGGGCAAGUAACAUGCCGAUAGACAAAGGGAAUUGUAUACGGGAUUGAUUGAAUCCCCGACAUUGUGGUUCAUCCGAUGAGAUUGAUACGUCUCCAACGUAUCUAUAAUUUUUUAUUGUUCCAUGCUAUAUUAUAUUCUGUUUUGGACAUUAUUGGGCUUUAUUAUACACUUUUAUAUUAUUUUUGGGACUAACCUAUUAACCGGAGGCCCAGCCCAGAAUUGCUGUUUUUUGCCUAUUUCAGAGUUUCGCAGAAAAGAAUAUCAAACGGAGUCCAAACGGAAUGAAACCUUCGGGAACGUGAUUUUCAGAACGAACGUGAUCCANNNNNNNNNNNNNNNNNNNNNNNNNNNNNNNNNNNNNNNNNNNNNNNNNNNNNNNNNNNNNNNNNNNNNNNNNNNNNNNNNNNNNNNNNNNNNNNNNNNNNNNNNNNNNNNNNNNNNNNNNNNNNNNNNNNNNNNNNNNNNNNNNNNNNNNNNNNNNNNNNNNNNNNNNNNNNNNNNNNNNNNNNNNNNNNNNNNNNNNNNNNNNNNNNNNNNNNNNNNNNNNNNNNNNNNNNNNNNNNNNNNNNNNNNNNNNNNNNNNNNNNNNNNNNNNNNNNNNNNNNNNNNNNNNNNNNNCGUGGGCCCCCUGUUGCUCCACCGACGUACUCCUUCCUCCUAUAUAUACCUACGUACCCCCAAACUACCAGAUACGGAGCCAAAAACCUAAUUCCACCGCCGCAACCUUCUGUACCCGUGAGAUCCCAUCUUGGGGCCUGUUCCGGAGCUCCGCCGGAGGGGCAUCGAUCACGGAGGGCUUCUACAUCAACACCAUAGCCUCUCCGAUGAAGAGUGAGUAGUUUACCUCAGACCUUCGGGUCCAUAGUUAUUAGCUAGAUGGCUUCUUCUCUCUUUUUGGAUCUCAAUACAAUGUUCUCCCCCUCUCUCAUGGAGAUCUAUUCGAUGUAAUCUUCUUUUGCGGUGUGUUUGUUGAGACCGAUGAAUUGUGGGUUUAUGAUCAAGUUUAUCUAUGAACAAUAUUUGAAUCUCCUCUGAAUUCUUUUAUGUGUGAUUGGUUAUCUUUGCAAGUCUCUUCGAAUUAUCAGUUUGGUUUGGCCUACUAGAUUGAUCUUUCUUGCAAUGGGAGAAGUGCUUAGCUUUGGGUUCAAUCUUGCGGUGUCCUUUCCUAGUGAUAGUAGGGGCAGCAAGGCACAUAUUGUAUUGUUGCCAUCGAGGAUAACAAGAUGGGGUUUAUAUCAUAUUGCAUGAGUUUAUCCCUCUACGUCAUGUCAUCUUGCUUAAAGCGUUACUCUGUUCUUAUGAACUUAAUACUCUAGAUGCAUGCUGGAUAGCGGUCGAUGUGUGGAGUAAUAGUAGUAGAUGCAGGCAGGAGUCGGUCUACUUGUCUUGGACGUGAUGCCUAUAUACAUGAUCGCACCUAGAUAUUCUCAUAACUAUGCUCAAUUCUGUCAAUUGCUCAACAGUAAUUUGUUCACCCACCAUAAAUACUUAUGCUCUCGAGAGAAGCCACUAGUCAAACCUAUGGCCCCCGGGUCUAUUUUCCAUCAUAUUAAUCUCCCAUUAACAAGUUAUUUCUAGCGUCAUUUUUAUUUUGUUUUCUUUACUAUGCAUCUUUAUCAUAAAAAUACCAAAAAUAUUAUCUUAUCAUAUCUAUCAGAUCUCACUCUCGUAAGUGACCGUGUAGGGAUUGACAACCCCUUAUCGCGUUGGUUGCGAGGAUUUAUUUGUUUGUGUAGGUGCGAGGGACUCGUGCGUGGCCUCCUACUGGAUUGAUACCUUGGUUCUCAAAAACUGAGGGAAAUACUUACGCUACUUUGCUGCAUCACCCUUUCCUCUUCAAGGGAAAACCAAUGCAGUGCUCAAGAGGUGGCAAGAAGGAUUUCUGGCGCUGUUGCCGGGGAGGCUUAUGCAAGGUCAAGUCAAGAUUUGGACUCCCGACAACGAGAUUUCUAGCGUUGUUGCCGGGGAGUCUACGCAAAAGUCAACAUACCAAGUACCCAUCACAAACCCUUAUCUCCCGCAUUACAUUAUUUGCCAUUUGCCUCUCGUUUUCCUCUCCCCCACUUCACCCUUUCCGUUUUAUUCGCCCUCUCUUUUUUGUUUGCCUCUUUUUCGCUUGCUUCUUGUUUGCUCAUGUGUUGGAUAGCUUGCUUGUCAUGAUGGCUCAAGAUAACACCAAAUUAUGUGACUUUACCAAUACCAACAAUAAUGAUUUCCUUAGCACUCCGAUUGCUCCUCUUACCGAUACUGAAUCUUGUGAAAUCAAUACUGCUUUGUUGAAUCUUGUCAUGAAAGAUCAAUUCGUCGGCCUUCCUAGUGAAGAUGCCGCUACCCAUCUAAAUAGCUUCGUUGAUUUGUGUGAUAUGCAAAAGAAGAAAGAUGUGGAUAAUGAUAAUGUUAAAUUGAAGCUAUUUCCUUUUUUGCUUAGAGAUCGUGCUAAAGCUUGGUUUUCGUCUUUGCCUAAAAAUAGUAUUGAUUCUUGGAAUAAGUGCAAAGAUGCUUUUAUCUCUAAGUAUUUUCCUCCCUCUAAGAUCAUCUCUCUUAGAAAUGAUAUUAUGAAUUUUAAGCAACUUGAUCAUGAACAUGUUGCACAAGCUUGGGAGAGGAUGAAAUUAAUGAUACGUAAUUGCCCUACGCAUGGUUUGAAUUUGUGGAUGAUUAUACAAAAUUUCUAUGCCGGAUUGAAUUUUGCUUCUAGAAAUCUUUUAGAUUCGGUCGCGGGAGGCACUUUUAUGGAAAUCACUUUAGGAGAAGCUACUAAACUCCUAGAUAAUAUUAUGGUUAAUUAUUCUCAAUGGCACACUGAAAGAUCUACUAAUAAAAAAGUGCAUGCGAUAGAAGAAAUUAAUGUUUUGAGUGGAAAGAUGGAUGAACUUAUGAAAUUAUUUUCUAAUAAAAGUGUUUCUUCUGAUCCUAAUGAUAUGCCUUUGUCUACUUUGAUUGAUAAUAAUAAUGAAUCUUUGGAUGUGAAUUUUGUUGGUAGGAAUAAUUUUGGUAACAACGCGUAUAGAGGAAACUUUAAUCCUAGGCCUUAUCCUAGUAAUUCCUCUAAUAAUUAUGGUAAUUCCUACAACCAUUCUUAUGGAAAUUUUAAUAAGAUGCCCUCUGAAUUUGAGACUAGUGUUAAGGAAUUUAUGAAUUCGCAAAAGAAUUUCAAUGCUUUGCUUGAAGAAAAAUUGCUUAAAGUUGAUGAAUUGGCUAGGAACGUUGAUAGAAUUUCUCUUGAUGUUGAUUCUUUGAAACUUAGAUCUAUUCCACCUAAGCAUGAUAUCAAUGAGUCUCUCAAAGCCAUGAGAAUUUCCAUUGAUGAGUGCAAAGAAAGAACCGCUAGGAUGCGUGCUAAGAAAGAUUGCUUUAUAAAAGCGUGUUCUUCUAAUUUUUAUGAAAACAAAGAUGAAGAUCUAAAAGUUAUUGAUAUGUCCCCUAUUAAAUCUUUGUUUUGCAAUAUGAAUCUUGAUAAUGAUGGGACUGAAUAUGAUCCACCUUUACCUAGAAGGCAUUUCAGAAAUUCUAAGUUUUUAGAUCUUGAUGCUAAAAUUGAUAAAAGUGGGAUUGAAGAGAUCAAAACAUUAGAUAUUAAUGAACCCACUAUUUUGGAUUUCAAGGAAUUUAAUUAUGUUAGCUGAUCUUUAAUAGAUUGUAUUUCCUUGUUGCAGUCUGUGCUAAAUUCUCCUCAUGCUUAUAGCCAAAAUAAAGCUUUUACCAAACAUAUCGUUGAUGCUUUGAUGCAAUCUUAUGAAGAAAAACUUGAGUUGGAAGUUUCUAUCCCUAGAAAACUUUAUGAUGAAUGGGAACCUACUAUUAAAAUUAAAAUUAAAGAUCAUGAAUGCUAUGCUUUGUGUGAUUUGGGUGCUAGUGUUUCCACGAUUCCAAAGACUUUGUGCGAUUUGCUAGGUUUCCGUGAUUUUGAUGAUUGCUCUUUGAACUUGCACCUUGCGGAUUCCACCAUUAAGAAACCUAUGGGAAGAAUUAAUGAUGUUCUUAUUAUUGCAAAUAGGAACUAUGUGCCCAUAGAUUUUAUUGUUCUUGACAUAGAUUGCAAUCCUUCAUGUCCUAUUAUUCUUGGUAGACAUUUCCUUAGAACGAUUGGUGCAAUUAUUGAUAUGAAGGAAGGGAAUAUUAGAUUCCAAUUUCCAUUAAAGAAAGGCAUGGAACACUUCCCUAGAAAGAAAAUAAAAUUACCUUAUGAAUCUAUUAUGAGAGCCACUUACGGAUUGCCUACCAAAGAUGGCAAUACCUAGAUCUAUCCUUGCUAUUAUGCCUAGCUAGGGGCGUUAAACGAUAGCGCUUGUUGGGAGGCAACCCAAUUUUAUUUUUAGUUUUUUGCUUUUUUCUUCUGUUUAGGAAUAAAUCUUUGAUCUAGCCUCUGGUUAGAUGUCUUUUUAUGUUUUAAUUAGUGUUUGUGCCAAGUUUAACCUAUAGGAUCUUCUUGGAUGAUAGUUAUUUGAUCUUGCAGAAAAUUCCAGAAACUUUCUAUUCACGAAAAUAAUUGUUAAAAAUCACCAGAACGUGAUAAAAUAUUGAUUCCAAUUGCUGCUGAUCAAUAAACAAAUUUUCUAGGUCGUCCCAUUUUGGCUGAUGUUUUGGAGUUCCAGAAGUUUGCGUUAGUUACAGAUUACUACAGACUGUUCUGUUUUUGAUAGAUUCUGUUUUUCGUGUGUUGUUUGCUUAUUUUGAUGAAUCUAUGGCUAGUAAAAUUGUUUAUAAACCAUAGAUAAGUUGGAAUACAGUAGGUUUAACACCAAUAUAAAUAAAGAAUGAGUUAAUUACAGUACCUUGAAGUGGUGUUUUGUUUUUUUUCGCUAACGGAGCUCACGAGAUUUUCUGUUAAGUUUUGUGUUGUGAAGUUUUCAAGUUUUGGGUAAAAGAUUUGAUGGAUUAUGGAAGAAGGAGUGGCAAGAUCCUAAGCUUGGGGAUGCCCAAGGCACCCCCAAGAUAAUCUAAGGACACCUAAAAGCCAAAGCUUGGGGAUGCCCCGGAAGGCAUCCCCUCUUUCGUCUACUUCCAUCGGUAACUUUACUUGGAGCUAUAUUUUUAUUCACCACAUGAUAUGUGUUUUCCUUGGAGCGUCUUGUAUUAUUUGAGUAUUUAUUUGUUAGUUUACCACAAUCAUCCUUGCUGUACACACCUUUUGAGAGACACACACAUGAUUCGGAAAUUAUUAGAAUACUCUAUGUGCUUCACUUAUAUCUUUUGAGUUAUAUAGUUUUUGCUCUCGUGCUUCACUUAUAUCUUUUAGAGCACGGUGGUGAUUUUGUUUUAUAGAAAAUAUUGUUCUCUCAUGCUUCACUUAGAUUAUUUUGAGAUUCCUACAAAACAGCAUGGUAGUUUGCUUUAACAAUAAUAGGCAUACAAGAUUAGUAAAAGAAAAAUUCUUAUGAGUGUGUUGAAUACUAUGAGAAGUUUGAUGCUUGAUAAUUGUUUUGAGAUAUGGAGGUGGUGAUAUUAGAGUCAUGCUAGUUGAGUAGUUUUGAAUUUGAGAAAUACUUGUGUUAAAGUUUGUGAUUCCCGUAGCAUGCACGUAUGGUGAACCGUUAUGUGAUGAAGUCGGAGCAUGAUUUAUUUAUUGAUUGUCUUCCUUAUGAGUGGCGGUCGGGGACGAGCGAUGGUCUUUUCCUACCAAUCUAUCCCCCUAGGAGCAUGCACGUAAUACUUUGCUUUGAUAACUUGUAGAUUUUUGCAAUAAGUAUAUGAGUUCUUUAUGACUAAUGUUGAGUCCAUGGAUUAUACGCACUUUUCCUCCUUCCACCAUUGCUAGCCUCUCUAAUACCGCGCACUUUUCGCUGGUAUCAUACACCCACCAUAUACCUUCCUCAAAACAGCCACCAUACCUACCUAUCAUGGCAUUUCCAUAGCCAUUCCAAGAUAUAUUGCCAUGCAACUUACCACCGUUCCGUUUACUAUGACACGCUCCAUCAUUGUCAUAUUGCUUUGCAUGAUCAUGUAGUUGACAUUGUAUUUGUGGCAAAGCCACCGUUCAUAAUUCUUUCAUACAUGUCACCCGCCGGAGGCAUUCAUAUAGAGUCAUAUUUUGUUCUAAGUAUUGAGUUGUAAUUGUUGAGUUGUAAGAAAAUAAAAGUGUGAUGAUCAUCAGUUUUAGAGCAUUGUCCCAAGUGAGGAAAGGAUGAUGGAGAUUAUGAUUCCCCCACAAGUCGGGAUGAGACUCCGGACGAAAAAAAAAGAAAAGAAAAGAGGCCAUAAAAAAGAGAAAAAAAGGCCCAAAUAAAAAAAUGAGAGAAAAAGAGAGAAGGGACAAUGUUACUAUCCUUUUACCACACUUGUGCUUCAAAGUAGCACCAUGAUCUUCAUGAUAGAGAGUCUCCUAUGAUAUCACUUUCAUUUACUAGUGGGAAUUUUUCAUUAUAGAACUUGGCUUGUAUAUUCCAAUGAUGGGCUUCCUCAAAAUGCCCUAGGUCUUCGUGAGCAAGCGAGUUGGAUGCACACCCACUUAGUUUCCUUUGUUGAGCUUUCAUAUACUUAUAGCUCUACUGCAUCCGUUUCAUGGCAAUCCCUACUCACUCACAUUGAUAUCUAUUAAUGGGCAUCUCCAUAGCCUGUUGAUACACCUAGUUGAUGUGAGACUAUCUUCUCCUUUUUGUCGUCUCCACAACCACCGUUCUAUUCCACCUAUAGUGCUAUAUCCAUGGCUCACGCUCAUGUAUUGCGUGAAGAUUGAAAAAGUUUCAGAAUGUCAAAAGUAUGAAACAAUUGCUUGGCUUGUCAUCGGGGUUGUGCAUGAUUUAAAUAUUUUGUGUGGUGAAGAUAGAGCAUAGCCAGACUAUAUGAUUUUGUAGGGAUAACUUUCUUUGGCCAUGUUAUUUUGAGAAGACAUAAUUGCUUAGUUAGUAUGCUUGAAGUAUUAUUAUUUUUAUGUCAAUAUUAAACUUUUAUCUUGAGUCUUUCGGAUCUGAAUAUUCAUACCACAAUUAAGAAGAAUUACAUUGAAAUUAUGCCAAGUAGCAUUCCACAUCAAAAAUUCUGUUUUUAUCAUUUACCUACUCGAGGACGAGCAGGAAUUAAGCUUGGGGAUGUUUGAUGCGUCUCCAACGUAUCUAUAAUUUUUGAUUGUUCCAUGCUAUAUUAUAUUCUGUUUUGGACAUUAUUGGGCUUUAUUAUACACUUUUAUAUUAUUUUUGGACUAACCUAUUAACCGGAGGCCCAGCCCAGAAUUGCUAUUUUUUGCCUAUUUCAGAGUUUCGCGGAAAAAGAAUAUCAAACGGAGUCCAAACGGAAUGAAACCUUCGGGGACAUGAUUUUUGGAACGAACAUGAUCUAGAGGACUUGGACCCUACGUCAAGACAUCAAACAGGAGGCCACGAGGUAGGGGGCGCGCCUACCCCCCCCCCAGGCGCGCCCUCCACCCUCGUGGGCCCCCUGUUGCUCCACCGACGUACUCCUUCCUUCUAUAUAUACCUACGUACCCCCAAACUACCAGAUACGGAGCCAAAAACCUAAUUCCACCGCCGCAAUCUUCUGUACCCGUGAGAUCCCAUCUUGGGGCCUGUUCCGGAGCUCCGCCAGAGGGGGCAUCGAUCACGGAGGGCUUCUACAUCAACACCAUAGCCUCUCCGAUGAAGUGUGAGUAGUUUACCUCAGACCUUCGGGUCCAUAGUUAUUAGCUGGAUGGCUUCUUCUCUCUUUUUGGAUCUCAAUACAAUGUUCUCCCCCUCUCUCCUGGAGAUCUGUUCGAUGUAAUCUUCUUUUGCGGUGUGUUUGUUGAGAUCGAUGAAUUGUGGGUUUAUGAUCAAGUUUAUCUAUGAACGAUACUUGAAUCUCCUCUGAAUUCUUUUAUGUAUGAUUGGUUAUCUUUGCAAGUCUCUUCGAAUUAUCAGUUUGGUUUGGCCUACUAGAUUGAUCUUUCUUGCAAUGGGAGAAGUGCUUAGCUUUGGGUUCAAUCUUGCGGUGUCCUUUCCCAGUGACAGUAGGGGCAGCAAGGCACGUAUUGUAUUGUUGCCAUCGAGGAUAACAAGAUGGGGUUUAUAUCAUAUUGCAUGAGUUUAUCCCUCUACAUCAUGUCAUCUUGCUUAAAGCGUUACUCUAUUCUUAUGAACUUAAUACUCUAGAUGCAUGUUGGAUAGCGGUCGAUGUGUGGAGUAAUAGUAGUAGAUGCAGGCAGGAGUCGGUCUACUUGUCUCGGACGUGAUGCCUAUAUACAUGAUCAUACCUAGAUAUUCUCAUAACUAUGCUCAAUUCUGUCAAUUGCUCAACAGUAAUUUGUUCACCCACCGUAAAUACUUAUGCUCUCGAGAGAAGCCACUAGUCAAACCUAUGGCCCCCGGGUCUAUUUUCCAUCAUAUUAAUCUCCCAUCAACAAGUUAUUUCUAGCGUUGUUUUUAUUUUGUUUUCUUUACUUUGCAUCUUUAUCAUAAAAAUACCAAAAAUAUUAUCUUAUCAUAUCUAUCAGAUCUCACUCUCGUAAGUGACCGCGUAGGGAUUGACAACCCCUUAUCGCGUUGGUUGCGAGGAUUUAUUUGUUUGUGUAGGUGCGAGGGACUCGUGCGUGGCCUCCUACUAGAUUGAUACCUUGGUUCUCAAAAACUGAGGGAAAUACUUACGCUACUUUGUUGCAUCACCCUUUCCACUUCAAGGGAAAACCAACGCAGUGCUCAAGAGGUAGCAGAGAUCAUCGUGGAACAUUGAUGUCUACUACGCAACCUUCUCCUUGUAGACGUUGUUGGGCCUCCAAGUGCAGAGGUUUGUAGGACAGUAGAAAAUUUCCCUCAAGUGGAUGACCUAAGGUUUAUCAAUCCGUGGGAGGUGUAGGAUGAAGAUGGUCUCUAUCAAACAAUCCUGCAACCAAAUAACAAAGAGUCUCUUGUGUCCCCAACACACCCAAUACAAUGGUAAAUUGUAUAGGUGCACUAGUUCGGCGAAGAGAUGGUGAUACAAGUGCAAUAUGGAUGGUAGAUAUAGGUUUUUGUAAUCUGAAAAUAUAAAAACAGCAAGGUAACUAAUGAUAAAAGUGAGCAUAAACGGUAUUGCAAUGCGUUGAAACAAGGCCUAGGGUUCAUACUUUCACUAGUGCAAGUUCUCUCAACAAUAAUAACAUAAUUGGAUCAUAUAACUAUCCCUCAACAUGCAACAAAGAGUCACUCCAAAGUCACUAAUAGCGGAGAACAAACGAAGAGAUUAUGGUACGGUGCGAAACCACCUCAAAGCUAUUCUUUCUGAUCGAUCUAUUCAAGAGUCCAUAGUAAAAUAACAUGAAGCUAUUCUUUCCGUUCAAUCUAUCAUUGAGUUCGUACUAGAAUAACACCUUAAGACACAAAUCAACCAAAACCCGAAUGUCACCUAGAUACUCCAAUGUCACCUCAAGUAUCCGUGGGUAUGAUUAUACGAUAUGCAUCACACAAUCUCAGAUUCAUCUAUUCAACCAACACAAAGUACUUCAAAGAGUGCCCCAAAGUUUCUACUGGAGAGUCAAGAAGAAAAUGUGUGCCAACCCCUAUGCAUAGGUUCAUGGGCGGAACCCGCAAGUUGAUCACCAAAACAUACAUCAAGUGAAUCAAUAGAAUACCCCAUUGUCACCACGGGUAUCCCACGCAAGACAUACAUCAAGUGUUCUCAAAUCCUUAAAGACUCAAUCCGAUAAGAUAACUUCAAAGGGAAAACUCAAUCCAUUACAAGAGAGUAGAGGGGGAGAAACAUCAUAAGAUCCAACUAUAAUAGCAAAGCUCGCGAUACAUCAAGAUCGUAUCACCUCAAGAACACGAGAGAGAGAGACAGAGAGAUCAAAAAACAUAGCUACUGGUACAUACCCUCAGCCCCGAGGGUGAAGUACUCCCUCCUUGUCAUGGAGAGCGCCGGGAUGAUGAAGAUGGCCACCGGUGAGGGAUCCCCCCUCCGGCAAGGUGCCGGAACAGGGUCCCAAUUGGUUUUUGGUGGCUACAGAGGCUUGCGGCGGCGGAACUCCCGAUCUAUUCUAUUCCCCGAUGGUUUUAGGGUAUAUUGAUAUAUAUAUAGGCGAAAGAAGUCGGUCAGGGGAGCCACGAGGGGCCCACGAGGGUGGAGGGCGCGCCCAGGGGGUGGGCGCGCCCCCCUGCCUCGUGCCUUCCUCGUUGCUUCCCUUACGUGCACUCCAAGUCCCCUGGAUUGCUUCCGUUCCAAAAAUAACUCUCUCGAAGGUUUCAUUCCGUUUGGACUCCGUUUGAUAUUCCUUUUCUGCAAAACACUAAAACAAGGGGAAAACAGAAAUUGGCACUGGGCUCUGGGUUAAUAAGUUAGUCCCAAAAAUAAUAUAAAAGUGCAUAGUAAAGCCCAUUAAACAUCCAAGAUGGAUAAUAUAAUAGCAUGAAUACUUCAUAAAUUAUAGAUACGUUGGAGACAUAUCAGCAUCCCCAAGCUUAAUUCCUGCUCGUCCUCGGGUAGGUAAAUGAUAAAAGAAAGAAUUUAUGAAGUGUGAAUGCUAGCAGGUGCAUAAGUUUGAUCAAUGAUAAUUUCAAUCACCUUUUCUAGCAUCAUUAUAUGUCAUAACAGUAGCUCAACUCAUAGAACUUUUCAUGAUCAAGUAACAAACUAUUCACAUGUUAAAGUAUAAAUCAUAAACCUUCUUGAAAACUAACAAACCGUGUUAUUAGUCAUCAAACAAUUACAAUUCAUCUUAUUUUCAGGAAGAGUCUAUGUCAGAGCUUUGAUUCAACAAACUUCAUAUACUCAACUAUCAUUGAGUCUUCCAUGAUUGCUACCACUCAAAGCAUAUUUUUAGAACAAAUAGUAUUCAUCGAACACAGAGAAAGAUAGGGGCUUAAUGUUUCGCCUCCCAACCUUUUACCUCAAGGGUAAUGUCAACAGUAAUAAUUCAUGCUCAAAUAUAUUUGAAUGGCCAUAUAUGCUUAGAUCUUUCCAUCACAUGAUGCUUGCCAACUAAAGAGUAUGUUGGAAUGAGAAGGAAUACUACUGACUCUUGCAUAAAAGUAAAAGAUAGGCCCUUCGCAGAGGGAAGCAGGGAUUUGCAGAGGUGCCAGAGCUCGAAGCAAAAACAGAGAUGAAAAUAAUUUUGAGAGGUAUGCUUUCAUUGUCAACAUAACGAACAAGAGUUCCCAAUAUCUUCCAUACUAGAUACAUUAUAGGUGGUUCCCACGCAGAAAGUUAAAGUUUUUACUCCCCCUCCACCAACAUUCACACUCCAUGGCUUGUCCGAAACAACGGGUGCCGUCCAACUAUCAACAUUCCUGGGGGAGUUUUGUUUAAAUUAUUUGUGAUUUUGUUUUUUAUCUUUUGAUCAUAGGACUGGGCAUCCUAGUUACCAGCCAUUUUCUCGUGAAUGAUGAGCGGAGUCCACUCAUCGUGAGAAUAACCCACCUAGCAUGGAAGAUACUGACAGCCCCUAGUCGCUACAUGAGCGAUUCGGGCAUACAAAACAGAUUAUUAUUUGAAGGUUUAGAGUUUGGCACAUGCAAAUUUACUUGGAACGGUAGGUAAAUACCGCAUAUAGGUAGAUAUGGUGGACACUCAUGGAAGAAACUUGGUUCAAGGAAUUUGGAUGCGCAAGCAGUAUUCCCGCUUAGUACAGAUAUUUUGGCUAGCAAGGGAUUCUAAAUAGCAAGCACCACAUGUUAGAGGAUCCAUAACAAUAUAACUUCUAUACAAAUAUACCCAAGCAUAACUCAUUAUGUUGUCUUCCUUGUCCAAUUUCAACUAAUUUGCUCAGGUUUGAAAAUAAUUAAUGGGGCUCACAAUCAUAGAAGAUGUCCAAGAUAGUAUAUUUAUAUGUGAAAUCUCUCUUCCUUCAAUAUUCUUUCAUGAAUUGUUCAAGUGACCAAUACAAUGUUUGCUAACCUUCAAUAAAUUUACUACCUCUACUUCUUAUAUGUGAAGUCAUUACUCCCCAUGGGAUAAGCAUAUGAAACAUAUAUAAUUUCAGAUUUAUGAUAUUCAAAUCAUUCAACCAUUUACUCAUAGGAUAUAAGUGAAGCACACGAGUAAAUGACAAACUACUCCAGAAAGAUAUAAGUGAAGAUCAAUGAGUAGUUAAAUAAUUAUGUAGCUAUGUGAAGACUCUCUCUCAUUUAAGAAUUUCAGAUCUUUGUAUUUUAUUCAAACAGCAAGAAAAGCUAAAGAAAAUAAAAUGACGCUCCAAGCAAAACACAUAUCAUGUGGUGAAUAAAAAUAUAGCUCCAAGUAAAGUUACCGAUGAACGAAGACGAAAGAGGGGAUGCCAUCCGGGGCAUCCCCAAGCUUAGGCUCUUGGUUGUCCUUGAAUAUUACCUUGGGGUGCCUUGGGCAUCCCCAAGCUUAGGCUCUUUCCACUCCUUAUUCCAUAGUCCAUCGUAUCUUUACCCAAAACUUGAAAACUUCACAACAUAAAACUUAACAGAAGAUCUCGUGAGCUCCAUUAGCGAAAGAAAACAAAACACCACUUCAAGGUACUGUAAUUAACUCAUUAUUUAUUUAUAUUGGUGUUAAACCUACUGUAUUCCAACUUCUCUAUGGUUUAUAAACUAUUUUACUAGCCAUAGAUUCAUCAAAAUAAGCAAACAACACAUAGAAAACAGAAUCUGUCAAAAACAGAACAGGCUGUAGUAAUAUGUAUCAAACGUAUACUUAUGGAACUCCAAAAAUUCCAAAAUAAAUUUGUGGACCUGAGGAAUUUGUCUAGUAAUCAUCUGCAAAAAGAAUCAACUAAAUAUCACUCUCCAGUAAAAAGUUUUAGCUAAUCUCGUGAGCGCUAAAGUUUCUGUUUUUUACAGCAUGAUCAUAAAGACUUCACCCAAAUCUUCCCAAAGGUUCUACUUGGCACAAACACUAAUUAAAACAUAAAACCACAUCUAACCAGAGGAUAGAUGAAAUAUUUAUUACUAAACAGAACCAAAAAGCAAGAGACUAAAAUAAAAUUGGGUUGCCUCCCAACAAGCGCUAACGUUUAACGCCCCUAGCUAGGCAUGAUGAUUUCAAUGAUGCUCACAUAAAAGAUAAGAAUUGAAACAUAAAGAGAGCAUCAUGAAGAAUAUGACUAGCACAUUUAAGUCUAAACCACUUCCUAUGCAUAGGGAUUUUGUGAGCAGACAAUUUAUGGGAACAAUAAUCAACUAGCAUAGGAAGGCAAAACAAGUAUAACUUCAAAAUUUUCAACACAUAGAGAGGAAACUUGAUAUUAUUGAAAUUCCUACAAGCAUAUGUUCCUCCCUUGUAAUAAUUUUCAGUAGCAUAAUGAAUGAAUUCAACAAUAUAACCAGGACCUAAAGCAUUCUUUUCAUGAUCUACUUGCAUAGAAAUUUUACUACUCUCCACAUAAGCAAAUUUCUUCUCAUGAAUAAUAGUGGGAGCAAACUCCACAAAAUAACUAUCAUGUGAGGCAUAAUCCAAUUGAAAACUAAAAUCAUGAUGACAAGUUUCAUGGUUAUCAUUAUUCUUAAUAGCAUACAAAUCAUAACAAUAAUCAUCAUAGAUAGCAACUUUGUUCUCAUAAUCAAUUGGAACCUCUUCCGAAAUAGUGGAUUCAUUACUAAAUAAAGUCGUGACCUCUCCAAAUCCACUUUCAUAAUUAUCACAAUAAUAUUCAACAUCCUCCAAAAUAGUGGGAACAUUACUUCCUAAAGUUGACACUCUUCCAAACCCACUUUCAUCAAUAUAAUCAUCAUAAAUAGGAGGCACGCUAUCAUCAUAAUAAAUUUGCUCAUCAAAACUUGGGGGGCAAAACAUAUCAUCUUCAUCAAACAUAGCAUCCCCAAGCUUGUGGCUUUGCAUAUCAUUAGCAUCAUGGAUAUUCAAGGAAUUCAUACUAACAACAUUGCAUUCAUGCUCAUCAUUCAAAUAUUUUAUGCCAAGCAUUCUAUGUAAUUCUUCUUCUAGUACUUGAGCACAAUUUUCUUUCCCAUCAUUUUCACGAAAGACAUUAAAAAGAUGAAGCAUAUGAGGCACCCUUAAUUCCAUUUUUUGUAGUUUUCUUUUAUAAACUAAACUAGUGAUAAAAAAGAAACUAAAAGAUUCGAUUGCAAGAUCUAAAGAUAUACCUUCAAGCACUCACCUCCCCGGCAACGGCGCCAGAAAAGAGCUUAGUUGACGGGGUGUGAGUGCCGCUUACCUAGCCUCCCCGGCAACGGCGCCAGAAAAGAGCUUGAUGUCUACUACGCAACCUUCUCCUUGUAGACGUUGUUGGGCCUCCAAGUGCAGAGGUUUGUAGGACAGUAGCAAAUUUCCCUCAAGUGCAUGACCUAAGGUUUAUCAAUCUGUGGGAGGUGUAGGAUGAAGAUGGUCUCUCUCAAACAACCCUGCAACCAAAUAACAAAGAGUCUCUUGUGUCCCCAACACACCCAAUACAAUGGUAAAUUGUAUAGGUGCACUAGUUCGGCGAAGAGAUGGUGAUACAAGUGCAAUAUGGAUGGUAGAUAUAGGUUUUUGUAAUCUGAAAAUAUAAAAACAGCAAGGUAACUACUGAUUAAAGUGAGCACAAACGGUAUUGCAAUGCGUUGAAACAAGGGCUAGGGUUCAUACUUUCACUAGUGCAAGUUCUCUCAACAAUAAUAACAUAAUUGGAUCAUAUAACUAUCCCUAAACAUGCAAAAAAGAGUCACUCCAAAGUCACUAAUAGCGGAGAACAAACGAAGAGAUUAUGGUAGGGUACGAAACCACCUCAAAGCUAUUCUUUUUGAUCGAUCUAUUCAAGAGUCUGUAGUAAAAUAACACAAAGCUAUUCUUUCCGUUCAAUCUAUCAUAGAGUUCGUACUAGAAUAACACCUUAAGACACAAAUCAACCAAAACCCUAAUGUCACCUAGAUACUCCAAUGUCACCUCAAGUAUCCGUGGGUAUGAUUAUACGAUAUGCAUCACACAAUCUCAGAUUCAUCUAUUCAACCAACACAAAGUACUUCAAAGAGUGCCCCAAAGUUUCUACCAGAGAGUCAAGAAGAAAACGUGUGCCAACCCCUAUGCAUAGGUUCAUGGGCGGAACCCGCAAGUUGAUCACCAAAACAUACAUCAAGUGAAUCAAUAGAAUACCCCAUUGUCACCACGGGUAUCCCACGCAAGACAUACAUCAAGUGUUCUCAAAUCCUUAAAGACUUAAUCCGAUAAGAUAACUUCAAAGGGAAAACUCAAUCCAUUACAAGAGAGUAGAGGGGGAGAAACAUCAUAAGAUCCAACUAUAAUAGCAAAGCUCGCGAUACAUCAAGAUCGUAUCACCUCCAGAACACGAGAGAGAGAGAGAGAGAGAGAGAGAGAGAUCAAACACAUAGCUACUGGUACAUACCCUCAGCCCCGAGGGUGAAGUACUCCCUCCUUGUCAUGGAGAGCGCCGGGAUGAUGAAGAUGGCCACCGGUGAGGGAUCCCCCCUCCGGUAGGGUGCCGGAACAGGGUCCCAAUUGGUUUUUGGUGGCUACAGAGGCUUGCGGCGGCGGAACUCCCGAUCUAUUUGUUCCCCUGUGGUUUUAGGGUAUAUUGAUAUAUAUAGGCGAAAGAAGUCGGUCAGGGGAGCCACGAGGGUGGAGGGCGCGCCCAGGGGGGUGGGCGCGCCCCCCUGCGUCGUGCCUUCCUCGUUGCUUCCCUUACGUGCACUCCAAGUCCCCUGGAUUGCUUCCGUUCCAAAAAUAACUCUCCCGAAGGUUUCAUUCCGUUUGGACUCCGUUUGAUAUUCCUUUUCUGCGAAACACUAAAACAAGGGAAAAAACAGAAACUGGCACUGGGCUCUAGGUUAAUAAGUUAGUCCCAAAAAUAAUAUAAAAGUGCAUAGUAAAGCCCAUUAAACAUCCAAGAUGGAUAAUAUAAUAGCAUGAAUACUUCAUAAAUUAUAGAUACGUUGGAGACGUAUCAAACAUGUGGGAGCCAAUAUGGGUAUCCAGAUCCCGCUAUUAGUUAUUGGCCGAAGAGGUGUCUCGUUCAUGUCUGCAUGGUUCCCGAACCCGUAGGGUCUGCACACUUAAGGUUCGGUGACGCUAGAGUUGUCAUGGCAAAUAGUAUGUGGUUACCGAAGGUUGUUCGGAGUCCCGGAUGAGAUCUCGGACAUGACGAGGAACUCCGGAAUGGUCCGGAGGUGAAGAUCGAUAUAUUGGACGAAGGGUAUUGGAGUCCGGAAUUGUUCCGGGGGUACCGGGUGACGACCAGCGUGUCCGAAAGGGGUUUCGGAGGCCCCGGCAAGCGUUGGGGGCCUUAUGGGCCAAGGGGAGGGGGCACAUCAGCCCACUAAGGGGCUGAGCGCCCCUCCCACCCAUCUCACGUAACCUGGAGAGGUGGGGGCGCCUCCCCUAGGGCAGCCACCCCUCCCGGCUUGGGGGCAAGUUUCCUAGGGGUGGGGGCGCCCAAACCCAUCUAGGGUUUCCCCUGUGGUCGCCGCCCCUCCCCUAGGGAAACCCUAGGGCGCCUCCUCCUCCCCCCUUCCCCCUAUAUAUAGUGAGGGAGAGAGAGGGCAGCGGCACCCUUCCCCUGGUGCAGCCCUGCUCCUUCCUACACCUCCUCCUCCUCUGUAGUGCUUAGCGAAGCUCUGCCGGAGAACCACGAGCUCCAUCGCCACCGCGCCGUCAUGCUGCUGGAGUUCUCCCUCAACUUCUCCUCCCCCCUUGCUGGAUCAAGAAGGAGGAGACGUCCCCGGGCUGUACAUGUGUUGAACGCGGAGGCGCCGUCCGUUCGGCGCUAGAUCGGAUCUUCCACGAUUUGAAUCACCGCGAGUACGACUCCAUCAACCGCGUUCUUCUAACGCUUCCGCUUAGCGAUCUUCAAGGGUAUGAAGAUGCACUCCCUCUCUCUCGUUGCUAGCAUCUCCUAGAUUGAUCUUGGUGACACGUAGGAAAAUUUUAAAUUAUUACUACAUUCCCAACAGUGGCAUCAUGAGCUAGGUUUAUGCGUAGAUUCCAUGCACGAGUGGAACACAAAGUAGUUGUGGGCGAUGAUUUGGUCAAUUUGCUUACCGUUACUACUCUUAUCUUGAUUCGGCGGCAUUGUGGGAUGAAGCGGCCCGGACCGACCUUACAUGUACGCUUACGUGAGACUGGUUCCACCGACCGACAUGCACUUGAUGCAUAAGGUGGCUAGCGGGUGUCUGUCUCUCCCACUUUAGUCGGAUCGGAUUCGAUGAAAAGGGUCCUUAUGAAGGGUAAAUAGCAAUUGGCAUAUCACCGUUGUGGAUUUUGUGUAUGUAACAAACGUUCUUGCUAGAAACCCGUAGCAGCCACGUAAAACAUGCAACAACUAUUAGAGGACGUCUAACUUGUUUUUGCAGGGUAUGCUAUGUGAUGUGGUAUGGCCAAAAGGAUGUGAUGAAUGAUAUAUGUGAUGUAUGAGAUUGAUCAUGUUCUUGUACUAGGAAUCACGACUUGCAUGUCGAUGAGGAUGACAACCGGCAGGAGCCAUAGGAGUUGUCUUAAUUUAUUGUAUGACCUGCGUGUAAUUGAAAACGCCAUGAAAUUACUUUAGUUUAUUGCUAACUGUUAGCCAUAGUAGUAGAAGUAAUAGUUGGCGAGACAACUUCAUGAAGACACGAUGAUGGAGAUCAUGGUGUCAUGCCGGUGACGAAGGUGAACAUGCCGCGCCUCGAAGAUGGAGAUCAAAGGCGCAAGAUGAUAUUGGCCAUAUCAUGUCACUUUAUGAUUUGCAUGUGAUGUUUGUCAUGUUUACAUCUUAUUUGCUUAGAACGACGGUAGCAAAAAUAAGAUGAUCCCUCACUAAAAUUUCAAGAAAUGUGCUCCCCCUAACUGUGCACCAUUGCGAAGGUUUGUUGUUUUGAAGCACCACGUGAUGAUCGAGUGUGAUAGAUUCUAACGUUCGCAUACAAUGGGUGUAAGCCAGAUUUACACAUGUGAAACACUUAGGUUGACUUGACGAGCCUAGCAUGUACCGACAUGGCCUUGGAACACAAGAGACCGAAAGGUUGAACAUGAGUAGUAUAGUAGAUACAAUCAACAUGGGGAUGUUCACCGUUGAUGACUAGUCCGUCUCACGUGAUGAUCGGACACGGCCUAGUCGAUUCGGAUCAUGUAACACUUAGAUGACUAGAGGGAUGUCUAUCCGAGUGGGAGUUCAUUAAAUAAUUUGAUUAGGUGAACUUAAUUAUCAUGAACUUAGUAUAAAAUAUCUUUACAAUAUGUCUUGUAGAUCAAAUGGCCCACGCUAAUGUUGCCCUCAACUUCAACGUGUUCAUAGAGAAAACCAAGCUGAAAGAUGAUGGUAGCAACUGCACGGACUGGGUCUGUAACUUGAGGAUCAUCCUUAUAGCUGCCAAGAAAGCAUAUGUCCUUGAAGCACCGCUAGCUGACGCACCCAUUUUCCUAGCAACUCAAGACGUUAUGAACGCCUGGCAGUCGCGUAGUGAUGAUUACUCCCUGGUUCAGUGCGGCAUGCUUUACGGCUUAGAACCGGAGCUCCAAAAGCGUUUCGAGCAGCACAGAGCAUAUGAGAUGUUCCAAGAGCUGAAAAUGGUUUUCCAAGCUCAUGCCCGGGUCGAGAGAUAUGAAGUCUCCGACAAGUUCUACAGUUGUAAGAUGGAGGAAAACAGUUAUGUCAGCGAGCAUAUACUCAAGAUGUCUGGGUUGCACAACCGCUUGUCUCAGCUGGGAGUUAAUCUUCCAGAUGACUCAGUCAUUGACAAGAUCCUCCAAUCGCUUCCACCUAGCUACAAGAGCUUUGUGAUGAACUACAAUAUGCAAGGGAUGGAGAAGUCCAUUCCUGAGUUAUAUUCAAUGCUGAAAUCAGCGGAGGUGGAAAUCAAAAAGGAACAUCAAGUGUUGAUGGUGAAUAAGAGCACUAGUUUCAAGAAAGGCAAGGGUAAGAAGAACUUCAAGAAGGGCGGCAAGGAAGUUGCCGCGCCCGGUAAAUCAGUUGCCGGGAAGAAGCCAAAGAAUGGACCCAAGCCUAAGACUCAGUGCUUUUAUUGCAAGGGAAAUGGUCACUGGAAACGGAACUGCCCCAAGUACUUAGCGGAUAAGAAGGCCGGCAAUGCCAAAGGUAUAUAUGAUAUACAUGUUAUUGAUGUGUACCUUACCAGCACUCGUAGUAGCUCCUUGGUAUGUGAUACCGGUGCGGUUGCUCAUAUUUGUAACUCAAAACAGGAGCUGCGGAAUAAGCGGAGACUGGCGAAGGACGAGGUGACGAUGCGCGUCGGGAAUGGUUCCGAGGUCGAUGUGAUCGCCGUCGGCACGCUACCUCAACAUCUACCUUCAGGAUUAGUUUUAAACCUCAAUAAUUGUUAUUUAGUGCUAGCUUUGAGCAUGAACAUUGUAUCUGGAUCUCGUUUAAUGCGAGAUGGCUAUUCAUUUAAAUCCGAAAAUAAUGGUUGUUCUAUUUAUAUGAGAGAUAUGUUUUAUGGUCAUGCUCCGCUGGUCAAUGGUUUAUUUUUAUUAAAUCUCGAACGUGAUGUUACACAUAUUCAUAGUGUGAAUACCAAAAGAUGUAAGGUUGAUAAUGAUAGUCCCACAUACUUGUGGCACUGCCGCCUUGGUCACAUUGGUGUCAAACGCAUGAAGAAACUCCAUGCAGAUGGACUUUUGGAGUCUCUUGAUUAUGAAUCAUUUGACACGUGAGAACCAUGCCUUAUGGGCAAAAUGACCAAGACUCCGUUCUCCGGAAUAACGGAGCGAGCAACCAACUUGUUGGAAAUCAUACAUACCGAUGUGUGCGGUCCAAUGAGCGUUGAGGCUCGCGGUGGCUAUCGUUAUGUUCUCACCCUCACUGAUGACUUAAGUAGAUAUGGGUAUGUCUACUUAAUGAAACACAAGUCUGAGACCUUUGAAAAGUUCAAGGAAUUUCAGAGUGAGGUAGAGAAUCAACGUGACAGGAAAAUAAAGUUCUUACGAUCAGAUCGUGGAGGAGAAUAUUUGAGUCACGAUUUUGGUACGCACCUAAGGAAAUAUGGAAUUGUUUUACAACUGACGCUGCCUGGAACACCUCAGCGUAAUGGUGUGUCCGAACGUCGUAAUCGCACUCUAUUGGAUAUGGUGCGAUCUAUGAUGUCUCUUACCGAUCUACCGCUAUCAUUUUGGGGUUAUGCUUUAGAGACAGACGCAUUCACUUUAAAUAGGGCACCAUCUAAAUCCGUUGAGACGACACCAUAUGAAUUAUGGUUUGGGAAGAAACCUAAGCUGUCAUUUCUAAAAGUUUGGGGAUGCGAUGCUUAUGUCAAGAAACUUCAACCUGAAAAGCUCGAACCCAAGUCGGAAAAAUGCGUCUUCAUAGGAUACCCUAAGGAAACUAUUGGGUAUACCUUCUACCUCAGAUCUGAAGGCAAGAUCUUUGUUGCCAAGAAUGGAUCCUUUCUAGAGAAAGAGUUUCUCUCGAAAGAAGUAAGUGGGAGGAAAGUAGAACUUGAUGAGAUACCCCCUCUUGAACCGGAAAGUAGCGCAGCUCAGGAAAAUGUUUCUGUGGUGCCUUCACCGAUUAGAGAGGAAGUUAAUGAUGAUGAUCAUGAAACUUCGGAUCAAGUUGUUACUGAACUUCGUAAGGACACGUUCCGCACUAGAGUGGUACGGCAACCCUGUCCUAGAAAUCAUGUUGUUAGACAACAGUGAACCUUCGAACUAUGAAGAAGCGAUGGCGGGCCCGAAUUCCAACAAAUGGCUUGAAGCCAUGAAAUCUGAGAUAGGAUCCAUGUAUGAAAACAAAGUAUGGACUUUGACAGGCUUGCCCGAUGAUCGGCAAGCCAUAGAAAGUAAGUGGAUCUUUAAGAAGAAGACUGGCGCGGAUGGUAAUGUGACCGUCUAUAAGGCUCGGCUUGUCGCUAAGGGUUAUCGAUAAGUUCAAGGGGUUGACUACGAUGAGACCUUCUCACCCGUAGCGAAGCUGAAGUCCGUCCGAAUCAUGUUAGCAAUUGCCGCAUUCUAUGAUUAUGAGAUCUGGCAAAUGGACGUCAAAAUGGCAUUCCUUAAGGGUUUCCUUAAGGAAGAAUUGUAUAUGAUGUAGCUGGAAGGUUUUGUCGAUCCUAAGAAUGCUGACAGGUAUGCAAGCUCCAGCACUCCAUCUAUGGGCUGGUGCAAGCAUCUCGGAGUUGGAACAUUCACUUUAAUGAAAUGAUCAAAGCGUUUGGGUUUAUGCAGACUUAUGGAGAAGCCUGUGUUUACAAGAAAGUGAGUGGGAGCUCUGUAGCAUUUCUCAUAUUAUAUGUGGAUGUCAUACUAUUGAUGGGAAAUGAUAUAAAACUUUUGGAAAGCAUAAACGCCUACUUGAAUAAAUGUUUUUCAAUGAAGGACCUUGGAGAAGCUGCUUACAUAUUAGGCGUCAAGAUCUAUAGAGAUAGAUCGAGAUGCCUCAUUGGUCUUUCACAAAGCACAUACCUUGACAAGAUAUUGAAGAAGUUCAAUAUGGAUCAGUCCAAGAAGGGGUUCUUGCCUAUAUUGCAAGGUGUGAGAUUGAGCACGGCUCAAUGCCCGACCUCGGCAGAAGAUAGAGAAAAGCUGGGUGUCAUCCCCUAUGCCUCAGCCAUAGGGUCUAUUAUGUAUGCCAUGUUGUGUACCAGACCUGAUGUGAACCUUGCCAUAAGUUUGGUAGGGAGGUACCAAAGUAAUCCCGGUAUGGAACACUGGACAACGGUCAAGAAUAUCCUGAAGUACCUGAAAAGGACUAAGGAUAUGUUUCUCGUUUAUGGAGGUGAAGAAGAGCUCGUCGUAAAGGGUUACGUCGAUGCUAGUUUCGACACAGAUCCAGAUGACUCCAAGUCACAAACCGGAUACGUGUAUAUUUUGAAUGGUGGGGCAGUCAGCUGGUGCAGUUGCAAGCAAAGCGUCGUGGCGGGAUCUACAUGUGAAGCCGAGUACAUAGCAGUCUCGGAGGCAGCACAGGAAGCAGUCUGGAUGAAGGAGUUCAUCACCGACCUAGGAGUUAUUCCCAAUGCGUCGGGCCCGAUGACUCUCUUCUGUGACAACACUGGAGCUAUUGCUCUUGCCAAGGAGCCCAGGUUUCACAAGAAGACCAGACAUAUCAAGCGUCGCUUCAACUCCAUUCGUGAAUAUAUUCAAGAUGGAGACAUAAAUAUUUGUAAAGUACAUACGGAUCUGAAUGUCGCAGAUCCGUUGACUAAACCUCUUCCAUGAGCAAAACAUGAUCAACACCAGAACUCUAUGGGUGUUCGAUUCAUCACAAUGUAACUAGAUUACUGACUCUACUGCAAGUGGGAGACUGUUGGAAAUAUGCCCUAGAGGCAAUAAUAAAGUGGUUAUUAUUAUAUUUCCUUGUUCAUGAUAAUUUUCUGUUGUUCAUGCUAUAAUUGUAUUAACUGGAAACCGUAAUACAUGUGUGAAUACAUAAACCGUAAUAUGUCCCUAGUAAGCCUCUAGUUGACUAGCUCGUUGAUCAAUAGAUGGUUGUGGUUUCCUGACCAUGGACAUUGGAUGUCGUUGAUAACGGGAUCACAUCAUUAGGAGAAUGAUGUGAUGGACAAGACCUAGUCCUAAGCAUAGCACAAGAUCGUGUAGUUCGUUUGCUAAGAGCUUUUCUAAUGUCAAGUAUGAUUUCCUUAGACCAUGAGAUUGUGCAACUCCCGGAUACUGUAGGAAUGCUUUGGGUCUACCAAACGUCACAACGUAACUAGGUGACUAUAAAGGUGCACUAUAGGUAGCUCCGAAAGUAUCUGUUGAGUUGGCACGAAUCGAGACUGGGAUUUGUCACUCUGUAUGACGGAGAGGUAUCUUUGGGCCCACUCGGUAAUGCAUCAUCAUAAUGAGCUCAGUGUGACUAAGGAGUUAGUCACGGGAUCAUGCAUUACUGAACGAGUAAAGAGACUUGCCGGUAACGAGAUUAAACAAGGUAUAGGGAUACCGACGAUCGAAUCUCGGGCAAGUAACAUGUCGAUAGACAAAGGGAAUUGUAUACGGGAUUGAUUGAAUCCCCGACAUUGUGGUUCAUCCGAUGAGAUCAUCGUGGAACAUGUGGGAGCCAAUAUGGGUAUCCAGAUCCCGCUAUUGGUUAUUGGCCAGAGAGGUGUCUCGGUCAUGUCUGCAUGGUUCCCGAACCCGUAGGGUCUACACAUUUAAGGUUUGGUGACGCUAGAGUUGUCAUGGGAAAUAUUAUGUGGUUACCGAAGGUUGUUCGGAGUCCCAAAAGAGAUCCUGGACAUGACGAGGAACUCCGGAAUGGUCCGGAGGUGAAGAUCGAUAUAUUGGAGAAAGGGUAUUCGAGUCCGGAAUUGUUCCGGGGGUACCGGGUGACGACCAACGUGUCCGAAAGGGGUUUCGGAGGCCCCGACAAGCGUUGGGGGCCUUAUGGGCCAAGGGGAGGGGGCACAACAGCCCACUAAGGGGCUGAGCGCCCCUCCCACCCCAUCUCACGUAACCUGGAGAGGUGGGGGCGCCUCCCCUAGGGCAGCCACCCCUCCCGGCAUGGGAGGCAAGUUUCCUAGGGGUGGGGGCGCCCAAACCCAUCUAGGGUUUCCCCUGUGGCCGCCGCCCCUCCCCUAGGGAAACCCUAGGGCGCCUCCUCCUCCCCCUUCCCCCUAUAUAUAGUGAGGGAGAGAGAGGGCAGUGGCACCCUUCCCCUGGCGCAGCCCUACUCCUUCCUACACCUCUUCCUCCUCCGUAGUGCUUAGCGAAGCUCUGCCGGAGAACCACGAGCUCCAUCGUCACCACGCCGUCAUGAUGUUGGAGUUCUCCCUCAACUUCUCCUCCCCCUUGCUGGAUCAAGAAGGAGGAGACGUCCCCGGGCUGUACGUGUGUUGAACGUGGAGGCGCCGUCCGUUCGGUGCUAGAUCGGAUCUUCGGCGAUUUGAAUCGCCAUGAGUACGACUCCAUCAAUCGCGUUCUUGUAACGCUUCCACUUAGCGAUCUUCAAGGGUAUGAAGAUGCACUCCCUCUCUCUCGUUGCUAGCAUCUCCUAGAUUGAUCUUGGUGACACGUAGGAAAAUUUUAAAUUAUUACUACGAUCCCCAACACACUGGUGGCGAACUUUGAUGCCCAGUGGAUGUAAUAUGUGUAAUAUCUGUAAUAGGCUAGAGUUAGUAGCUUGCUUAUUUAUUUCCUUAUUGUCUUAUUUAGUUGUUUGUUUGUAGUCAUUGCAGUUCUUUUUCCGUGUUUUUCUAGUGGCCACAAUAACCUAUUUUUGGUAACUGGGCCACAAUAAUCAUGGCAACACACGGACUGUUGUAACCAUGGGCCUCCUACGGGCCGUAGGAUCCAUGGGCCUUCUACGGGCCGUAGGAUCCAUGGGCCUUCUACGGGCCAUAGGAUCCAUGGACUUUCUACGGGCCGUAUGAUCCAUGGGCCUUCUACGGGCCGUAGGAUCCAUUGGUCUUCUACGGGCCGUAGGAUCCAUGGGCCUUCUACGGGGCGUAUAAUCAUUUCGCCAAACAUGGGCCUGUCGGUGUACAAAAGAAGGGGCGCACCUUUGUACCCCUUUACCUGUGCACGGGCAGUCGGAGCCGCGCCCACGGUCACACCAAGCAGAACAGGGUAGGUGAGCCAAGGUAAGACCGAAGCCCAAGAUAACCAGAGCAACGCCAAGGCCAAGACCACAAAGAGCAGAGGGACGAAGCAGUUUCCCCUGGCAAGACCCUUGCUGGGGCAGCCCCGGCAAGACCCUUGCCGAGGCAGCUCGCCCCACACCAACAGAGCGAGCCACCCUUGAGCCCACGGUCCCCAACACCAUCAUCCACGUGGGGCCAGGGCUCGGGAGGCACCUCUGUGGUGGCAUGCAGAUCUUUGUGAAGACAUAUUCAAGAUCAGAUGAGGAUUAGAAGACGAGGAUCCUCGGCAAGAUCCUUGCCGAGGAAAGCCACGAGACCCCCGGCAAGGUCCUUGCCGGGGACGACAGCGCGCCACGGCAAGACCCUUGCUGGGCCACCCGGCAAGGGUCUUGCCGGGUCGCCCGGCAAGGCCCUCACCAAGGAUGCCAGCAGGGCCACCACCAGGACUGCGCCAACCAAGUUCCCACCGUUGUUCGCAUGCACCUGCCAACUCAACCAGCUGAGCAGGCACCUGCGUGGCAACAUGCAGCUCCCGGGCCAACUCGUCAAGCGCCUGCGUGGCGGCAUGCAGAUCUUCGUGAAGGCUCCACCACCGCGCCACCUCAGCUGCCUGCCUGCCUACAUGGCACCGGAUGCCUCACUGGCCAGGGCGCGUGUCGAAGUGAGGAGGAGCAACGACGGACGGGACGGACCUCGCCCCCGUCCCCGAUAAAGCAAGGGGACACCUAAGCUACGCAUUAAAUGUGUCUUGUCCUGUAAUACGAGCGAUAAGCUCAUAGCACUGUGCGCCUUUCCACCUCCUGUGUGCCACCGUGGCAGCCCCUUCCGACUAUAAAAGGAGGCCCAUGGCAUACUGGAGAAGGAUUCGGCUCUUUCGAACCACGCACUCACCACAACUAGUUCGAGAGCUCAAGAACUCUCUGAAAUACAACCACCAAAGCAGGACUAGGGUUUUACGCAUCCUCGCGGCCCGAACCUGGGUAAACGAUCCUUGUGCUGGUUACUAAUCCUGCUCUUCUCGCAACCCUACACCCUGGCAACCAUAAUAGGGAUUCUUGUGAUCCCAUAGGUGUCGUUUCCCCGACAUCUUUGGCGCGCCGGGUAGGGGCGCAAUUGUGAGAAUCUAGUCUAGUAGUUAGCCCAGCAGUUCUUCGUUGCCAUGGCUCCUAAGAAGAAGACAGCCACGGCGAUCGGCUCGUUGGGGGCCGAACGGCCCGUGCCGGUGCGGACGAGAAGUGGACCGGUCGCGGACAGGACCCGGGCCGUGGUCCGCGAGCACCAGCAUCGCCCUGGCAGUCAGAGACUGGCGAGCGGCCUUGUUCGCGCGCCAGACGACCGGCCGCACGUCGCCAGAUCUAAAGACGGAGCUGGGCCCCCCGCAGGCGGCGCGGGGCCCUCCAGGGGUGUUGUUGUGCCACCUCCGGGCGGCGCAGCGACCUCCAAGACGCCCACAUCGGCGACCACUGCAUGCUCUUCCCAUGGUGUGCGCGCCGAGCAGCGUCACCACGCUGGUGACCCUGGGCACCGCUGUGGGAAGAGCCAUGUGCGUCAUCCGCAAGAUGAAGGGGUUCAGCACGCCCGCCGAAGUGCUGGCGAAGAUGGCACGCGGCCGUUGGGUCGUAACGGAGCUCCUUCUAACAUAGUUAGAAGUCAAAGCGCGCCGCGAUCCACGCAGAUGUCGCCGCCGCCCAUGCCAGCAAAAGCUUUGGCGCGCGCGUGGCUGCUCCUCGACUUCCCUCCCGCUGCGGACAAGCUCGACGAGUGGAGGGCCACCAUCCGGAGCCUCGUCGCCGUCGCCAACAAAGAUGAUCCGCGACUGGCAGGGCCCUCGGGUCGGCGCUCCACCGAGCCACCACAUGCUGGCGCUGGGAGGACCGGGGGAGCUGCGGCCACGGUGCACUCUCCUCCUCCUCGCCAGCCGCCGCGGGCGUCGGCCCAUCGUGACGAUGCUUGUGAUAACAUCUCCAUAGCGUCGUCCGACCCACGGACCCUCCGCGACCAGCGCCAGGUCCUUCGGGAACGAGCUCACGAAGACGCUUGAACCAUCCGUCGAACCAUCAACGGGGCAGAACAAGCAGAGGAAGUCAGGUCCCGGCAAGUACUUUCCUAUCGAGCCCCCUAGGACUGUCGGCAAGGGUGCUGCCGCGGACGCUGAGCCCGCCAAAGGGCAACUGGCUCCGGCAGGGCGCCAAGCCCUGGCCAUGGAGACAGCCGCGCCCAUGGCUGAGGAAAUGCCUUUGGUCCUUGCCGUCGAGCCCCAGGCUCCGGCGUGGGCACAACAUACUGUCCGAUUCCUCCAAACAAGGGAACUUCCUGAGGAGCAGGAAGAAGCGGAGAAAGUAGCCCGUCGGUCCGCCCUGUACCAGUUCGUCAUCGACAUCCUGUACAGGAGAAGGCCGAACGGCGUGAAAUUGAAGUGCAUCCCCCGGGAGGAAGGACUGGAGCUGUUGGUGGAGAUACAUGGAGGCAUAUGUGGCUCCCACAUAGGGUCGAGGGCCCUUGCCGGAAAGGCGUUCCGGCAGGGUUUCUUUUGGCCCACCGCCCUCCAGGAUGCGACGGCACUAGUAACCAAGUGUGAAGCGUGUCAGUUCCAUUCAAAGAAGCUUCAUCAACCAGCUCAAGCCCUUCAAACAAUCCCUCUCUCCUGGCCAUUCUCGGUCUGGGGGCUCGAUAUACUGGGCCCUUUCCCCCGCGCUGUCGGGGGCUUUGAGUACUUGUACGUUGCAAUCGACAAGUUCACAAAGUGGCCGGACGUGGAAGCAGUGAGAAAGGUGACUGCUCAAUCAGCUGUCAAAUUCUUCAAGGGACUGGUCUGCCGUUUUGGUGUGCCAAACAGAGUCAUCACCGACAACGGCACGCAGUUCACAAGCCACACCUUCAUGCAAUACAUCCAAGACCUCGGCAGCAAGGUCUGUUUUGCUUCCGUGGCACACCCACGGAGCAACGGCCAAGCAGAGAGGGCAACUGCUGAAGUGUUGUGAGGCCUAAGAGCAAAGACUUUUGACAAGCUGCGCAAGAGCGGAAGGCGCUGGAUUAAUCAAUUGCCAACGGUUCUUUGGUUGAUCAGGACGACGCCAAAUCGAGCCACCAGCCAGACACCUUUUGCCCUAGUCUACGGGGCAGAAGCAGUUCUCCCCAUGGAACUCAUAUACGGGUCACCUCGAGUGCUCGCUUAUGAUGAGCUUCAGCAAGAGCAGUUGCGCCAAGAUGACGCGACGCUCCCUGAGGAAGAUCGUCUUCGGGCGGCUGUGAGAGCAACAUGCUACCAACAAGCCUUGCGACACUACCAUAGCCGCAAGGUUCAUGCCCGAAGCUUUGAGGAAGGCGACCUUGUUCUUCGGCGCGUUCAGUCGGUCAAGAAUUCCAACAAGUUGACGCCAAUGUGGGAAGGCCCUUAUCGGGUAAUACGAGUCACCAGGGCCGGCGCAGUCCGCCUGGAGACCGAAGAUGCUGUCCCAGUGAGCAACUCCUGGAACAUCGAGCAUCUUCGCAAGUUUUACCCAUAAGGCGCGGCUUGCUGGGCCUCCCGGCAAGCCACCUUUUGUACAAGCUUUGCCGGCGAGGCAUGUAACCCUUCGUACAAAGCCAGGCGCAGACCCUGAGCAUAAAUAAAUGAAGCGUUGGCGCCCUAAGUUAUAGCAUGCAUGCUAGGUCGAGUCUCUUCCUUGGUUAGGGUUGAUAGUGCUUGGCGGCGACUAACCCCUAGCUUAGAGGUCGGGUGCGCGUCUUUCUGUCCUUUUCUGUCAUCUUUUGGUUCGCAGGGCACAUGAGCAUUUCUGCUGAGCUACUUGGAAGGAAGGGCAUGGACCGACGUCCUAACCCCGGCAAACCAAAGUUGCCGGGGGCUGCGAGUACAAGGAUCCAACCGUGGCAAGAUGAGGUUGCCGGGGGCUGCAGAUCCAGAUAAGUCUUUCAUCCUCUGUCAUGCAUUUCAGAACAGAACUGGGGCAUGUGAAACCUCGUUUUAUCUUCGGGCAACCGUGCUCCCCUUUUUCCUAUACCUAAGGAUUAUAUCCUAGGUCUGGAUUCGGUUGUAGCCGUGGCGGCAAGGAGGCAGAACGAGGAGCCUGAGCCUACUUCAUCCCUGCCUCCGCCAAGAGCGCGAGAACGGUCGAGUGAAGUAAGGGGGACGGCAAGGCCUGUUGCCGGGCGAAAAAUGUUUAUCUUAAAUAAUAACAAGGAUUCGCUCCUUGUCGCGGGGUCUACCCACGAACGAAAAACCCGACAAACAUCCCUUUUUCAUUAAAAACAUCCCAUGCAGGUACAGUUCAUAUGGAAUGAAAAACAUGAGCAAGGGGAUUACAAGUUCUAAAUUUAACAAAGGCCCGCAGGCUUACGAACUAAAAAAGAGAUAAGAUGUCCGUAAUCCCUUUCUUGUCCCUCUCCUCAGGAGGCAGGUCAAGGAGGAGAGAGGGCAAAAGGGGCGCCUAGGCGAGCUACGAGCAGCAGAAAGCACCAAGAGAACACCUCGGUGGCCGCCCACGGGCGGGCCGGUGAUGACGGUGCCGGGAAAGGAGCUGGAAGACGAGGCGGCAGGACCGGCAAUACGCGAUGAAGGCGUCGGUGCCCGCGUACUCCGAGUUGACGGCCUUGCCGCCCGCCCUCUUCCUCUUCUGCAGUCUCCCGACGCCAGCCGCCCAAGGAGACGGCCCCGAGAAGUUCAAGGAGCUGGCCCCACCCCCGGAAAAACUCUGCCGAAGGAGUGGCCAGGUGCAGAUGCUGCUGCUGCCGCACCCGCCCAGACGCGGGGCGUCCGACGCCUAGUCGGACUCGUCCCCGUCGUCUGCCCCGCUGUCCUCCUCAUCACUUUUGCUCGAGGAAGAGCUUCCAUCGUCGGAAUCUCCGUCGGAGGAGCUCUCCACGCAGCACUUCAGGCGAGUCCCGAAGUCUCCGAAGACCUUGACGGAGAGCAGGUCGUCCUCCAUUAAUUUGAAGUAGAGGACAAGCCCGGCCGUCAGGCUGUGGAUGCGGGCGAACGUCUUCCAUCCGCGGUGGAGGUACAUCACCCGAGGAGCCGGGAAGUCGACGUCGACCCGCGUGCCCCCAUUCCCACAGCCCCUCAUGUGCAAUCUGAGGGAUUGGGGCGGGUCACGCUCCAUCUCCCGAGCGAACGGAGCGGGGAGACAAAGACGGUGACGCGGAGGCCGGCGCAGCCUGAUGAAGAAUUCACGGGGCUGGUCUCCAACAUGGCCUUCUAUCGGAAAAGGCAUCAUUGGCGGGGGCGAAGCCGGCGCGCCGCCCCGUCCUCCUCUUCCCCGAGCACUACGACCUCUGCCCCGGCCUCGCCCACGGCCUCGCCCCCUCCCCCGUCCCCUCGCGGCCGGCUCUACCACCGAGGGCUCAGGAGGGGGGGACGCGCUGUCGAGCGGCGACCCUCGCCGCCACCAUCGAGGGACCAGGAUUCCCUUUCUCCAUGACGAGUGGAAGGAAGAAGCAGAAGCGAGAGAAGAUGGAUGACAGGAGAGUGCGGGACGCCAUCCCCCUUCCCCCUCCUUAUAAAGGGGCGGGGUUGGGGCUCGGCCGCCCCGCUCGACCAAUCCAGCCACUAGAGGCGCAGGGAAUCGGGACCGACCCGCUGCCCCAACCAGCGACGGCCCGGUUUCCCGCCUCCACUGCUUGCCACCCCAAGUGCAUGAAGGAAGCAUGGCGGGCGUGCAGAACCGAGGGGACGGGUGAAGCGACCUCUCCCCACCCCGUGAUCGUGGGGUGUGGACGCCUUGAAGACCGCGACCCGGCCCCAUUCAGUAAAUGAGUCGCGCCUCCACGCCUCCCUCUUUUUACGGGGAAGGCGCGAGUCGCCUCUUUACUGCAAUGUGACGCAUGCGUGCAGAAACCACCCCACGCAUGCCGCCCACGUCACGCGCACCCCUCCACACCACGCCACGCCGCACGCGGGUCGUGGGAAGCGCAGCGCGUGAAAAGUUUACCGCGGUAAAAACCGCCCCGCCUGCCCGCGCACCGUUUUGGGCCUGGCCCAACAACGUGUCGCGCUUAUGUGUGGCCCAGGCCCGGGGGCUCCUGUCAGUGUACAAAAGAAGGGGCGCACCUUUGUACCCCUUUACCUGUGCGUGGGCAGUCGGAGCCGCGCCCACGGUCACACCAAGCAGAACAGGGUAGGUGAGCCAAGGUAAGACCGAAGCCCAAGAUAACUAGAGCAACGCCAAGGCCAAGACCACAAAGAGCAGAGGGAUGAAGCAGGUUCCCCCGGCAAGACCCUUGCCGGGGCAGCCUCAGCAGCCCCGGCAAGACCCUUGUCGGGGCAGCUCGCCUCACACCAACAGAGUGAGCCACCCUUGAGCCCACGGUCCCCAACACCAUCAUCCACGUGGGGCCAGGGCUCGGGAGGCACCUCUAUGGUGGCAUGCAGAUCUUUGUGAAGACAUAUUCAAGAUCAGAUGAGGAUUAGAAGACGACGAUCCUCGGCAAGAUCCUUGCCGAGGAAAGCCACGAGACCCCCGGCAAGGUCCUUGCCGGGGACGACAGCGCGCCACGGCAAGACCCUUGCCGGGCCACCCGGCAAGACCCUUGCCGAGCCACCCGGCAAGGCCCUCACCAAGGACGCCGGCAGGGCCACCGCCAGGACUGCGCCAACCAAGUUCCCACCGUCGUUCCCAUGCAGCUGCCAGCUCAACCAGCUGAGCAGGCACCUGCGUGGCAACAUGCAGCUCCCGGGCCAACUCGUCAAGCGCCUGCGUGGCGGCAUGCAGAUCUUCGUGAAGGCUCCACCACCGCUCCACCUCAGCUGCCUGCCUGCCUACAUGGCACCGCAUGCCUCACUGGCCAGGGCGCGUGUCGAAGCGAGGAGGAGCGGCGACGGACGGGACGGGCCUCGCCCCCGUCCCCGAUAAAGCAAGGGGACACCUAAGCUACGCAUUAAAUGCAUCUUGUCCUGUAAUACGAGCGAGAAGCUCAUAGCACUGUGCGCCUUUCCACCUCCUGUGUGCCACCGUGGCAGCCCCUUCCAGCUAUAAAAGGAGGCCCAUGGCAUACUGGAGAAGGAUUAGGCUCUUUCGAACCACGCACUCACCACAGCUAGUUUGAGAGCUCAAGAACUCUCUGAAAUACACCCACCAAAGCAGGACUAGGGUUUUACGCAUCCUAGCGGCCCGAACCUGGGUAAACGAUCCUUGUGCUGGUUACUAAUCCUGCUCUUCUCGCAACCCUGCGCCCCGGCAACCGUAGUAGGGAUUCUUGUGAUCCCAUAGGUGUCGUUUCCCCGACAGGGCCGUACUAUUCAUGGACCAUAACGGGUCGUUAAUAGGCUGUAUUUGAUAAUGCUAUGAAAACAGCCCAACGGGUUAACAGGCCACAAACGGGUCGAAUGUAACCACAGGCUGAAUUUGGCCCACAAACAGAACAGGCCAGUAACGGACCGUAACUAACCGAAUUCUAGAAAUGAGCCCAAGAAUAAAUGGGCCCUUAGAAGGCCGAAAGUUAACACGGGCUGGAAACGGCCGACGGAAUAAUGGGUCGUUAAUGGAUAUAAAGCAAUACACUGUUCAUUAUGGGCCAGUUUCAUCUCGGGCCUUUAAUGGGCCUAGAGUUACAAAGGGCCUCAUAUGGGCCGAAAGACAUCAUGGGCCAUACAUGGGCCGGAAGUUACAACGGGCCGGAAUCAUAUUGGACGGCCCAGAUGAAGCUACUAGGCUUAAUUCCGAUAGGCCGUAAUGGGCCAGGAGUUAGUGGGCCGUAAAUGGGCUAUAUAUGAACAGGCCGUUAACAGGCUUUCCGUGGGCCGGCCCAUUACCUUUUGACCAAGUCAAACGGGCCGGCCUUUUCACCAGAAUGGGCCUCUGUUGGGUCGUGCCACGUGUCGACGAAUCAUAGGCGCCUCCUGUCCAAUGAGUGGAUGACAUCUGUCCCAACGGUGAGCCAACAUGUGUUUCCUCUGGCCAAUGAGAAUUUUACACAUGGAAAAUCCCCAUUGGUCCGGGCUGUUAACGGGUUAUCGGAUCCAAAACCGGACCCGAUAGCUUAACGGCGACCUGUUAUGGUGGAUGCCACGUGUCGGUCACCCUUGACGAAAGCACUUCUAUGACGCGCGAUUUAUCGUCAUGGAAGUGGACACUUCCGUGAUGAUAAUUUUGGUAAUGUCAUGGAACACUUCUACGACAGCACAGGUAUGACUAUCUUGAUUCUGUCAUAAAAUUGUCAUGGAUGUACAUGCAUGACAGAAAACGUGACCUACUGUGACAAACACGUAUCAUCACGGAAGUGUAUUUUUUUGUAGUGUAGGUUUGAUGGCAUUGAUGUUGUACUUUACGCCAUCCUUCAACUUUUUGGCCAGGCCUCACUGUCCUGCUACCUGUAGAAGAUUUGCUCGAUCCGGAGGGCUGAAAGAAGAAAGAUCGAUUCAUUAAUAUAUCUUCAAAUCAUUUAAAACAUGUGAUGAUCACCAGAUGCCUGCUUAUAUAAUUAUACCUCGCCGGUCUCUGUUAUUUCAAGAUCAACAUUUUCUUCGUCAUCAUAAUCAUAGUUCUGGACUUCAUCUAUUCGUUCGUCUUCAUCAAAUAUCAUACCCUCACCGGUAGGGUUCAGAUAUUGCGAGCUGUCAUCUUCUUCAAACUCAUCUGGGCGAGGGGAUGAGCGUAUGAUGUUGAACAGGGCCUCCUCUCCUUCUUUUUCGGUAUUGUCCAUAGCUUUUAUUUAACUAAUCCAGAAGAAAUAUAAAAAAAUUGUAUUUAAAUUACAAUGCAUGCAUGCAUUCAAUAAGGAAAAACUGAAUCACGGUACAUAAUAUGCAUCAUCGAAUAUAAUCUCGAAUACAUCGUCUCGAAUGUAAUCGAAUAAUAUAUAUAAUCUCGAAUACAUCGUCUCGAAUAUUAUCAAAUAAUAUAUAUAAUCUCGAAUACAUUGUCUUGAAUAUUAUCGAAUAAUAUAUAUAAUCUCGAAUACAUCAUCUCGAAUAUUAUAUAUCGAAUACAUCACUAGCUAGCUAGCUAAUAUAGAUCGAAUACUAUCGAAUAAUCUAGUUCAGUCGCGGUUCUUGAGGCGCGGGCGGUGGACACCCAAAGAGAAGGAACCAUCGCAGGAUCAUAGCUCGGGUGAGAUCCCCGAAGAACCUGCUAGGUAUUGGAGAACCUGACGUCCAUAGCAGCCAUGUAGCGACGGACGUGCUCGUCCUCCUCCCUAACACGGCGACGUACCACCUCCGGCGGGGCCGGCUCCCUCCGCACCAAAAGUGGUCCACGCGAAUGCCACCAAAGGAGCUCCGGGUCGACGACGGGACCCGGGGCCGAGUUCCUCACCAAGCGGCGCGCACCUGAAGGUAGCACCUCCCAGUGCCAGCCCGGCGGAGCCCAGUCCCGGACAUGGCUCCUGUGAAGCAGGACAUCGUCGCAAACGGGUCGACGACGAGGAUGCGGGCCGGGCAUCGUUCACAUAUAAAAAACUAAAAAUAUAAGAUUUCUAAAAAAUAUUUAUAUAUCUAAUUAACAUUUAUAUAUCUAAAAAUCAUCUAACAUUUCUAUAACUAAAAGUAUAAAAAAACUUUAAAAAAACAUGCAUCUAACAUUUUUAUAUCUAAUUCAUCUAACAUUUAUAUAUAUAUAUAACUAAAAGUAUCAAAUUCCUUAACUUUUUUCUAUAUACAUCUAAUCAUCUAGUGAAAGAAAAUGUCAAAAUUCAUCUAACUAACAUUUCUAUAUCUAAAAUUCANNNNNNNNNNNNNNNNNNNNNNNNNNNNNNNNNNNNNNNNNNNNNNNNNNNNNNNNNNNNNNNNNNNNNNNNNNNNNNNNNNNNNNNNNNNNNNNNNNNNNNNNNNNNNNNNNNNNNNNNNNNNNNNNNNNNNNNNNNNNNNNNNNNNNNNNNNNNNNNNNNNNNNNNNNNNNNNNNNNNNNNNNNNNNNNNNNNNNNNNNNNNNNNNNNNNNNNNNNNNNNNNNNNNNNNNNNNNNNNNNNNNNNNNNNNNNNNNNNNNNNNNNNNNNNNNNNNNNNNNNNNNNNNNNNNNNNNNNNNNNNNNNNNNNNNNNNNNNNNNNNNNNNNNNNNNNNNNNNNNNNNNNNNNNNNNNNNNNNNNNNNNNNNNNNNNNNNNNNNNNNNNNNNNNNNNNNNNNNNNNNNNNNNNNNNNNNNNNNNNNNNNNNNNNNNNNNNNNNNNNNNNNNNNNNNNNNNNNNNNNNNNNNNNNNNNNNNNNNNNNNNNNNNNNNNNNNNNNNNNNNNGGCGGCGGGCGGCGCGACGGGGGACGGCGUGGGCAGCGCGUCGGGGGCGGCGACGGCGUCGAUCGGGGCAGGCGGUGCGUCGUCGACAGAGAGGAAGAAACAGAGGAAGAACAGGGAGAAACUGAAUUUUUUUUCAAGUGUUGUAUAUAUAGGAUGGACCUUUAGUACCGGUUGGAGCCACCAACCGGUACUAAAGGUCUGUUUUGGCCAGGCCAAGCAGCGGGAAGCGCACCCCUUUAGUACCGAGUGGUGGCUCCAACCGGUACUAAAUACCCCCCCCUUUAGUAUCGGUUGGAGCCACGACCCGGUACUAAAGGGGUGCGCUGGCGCAGGUGCAGUGCGGGCAAGUUUAGUCCCACCUCGCUAGCCGAGGGGCGCCCGCACCAGUUUAAAAGCCCCUGCGCGGCUGUUGUCUCGAACUCCUCUCUAUAGUAGGCUUCUAGGCCUAUCUCUGCCGCGCUGCCCUGUGGGCCUACUGGGCCUUGCGGGCCUGCAUCCUGACCCAACUACAAGUUGGGUUUCUAGUCGUAUGCAGGCCGCUGUGGCCGAGUAGGCGGGCUUUUUUAUUGAGUUUUUUUUCUUUUCUGCUUUAUUUAUUUUAUUUUAUUUAUUUCUGAGUUGUCUUUUGCUGUAUUUAGAGUUUCUUUGUGAAUAUUUUUGCUUUAGGUACAAAAAAUUACAAACUUUCUGUUAGUGCCAGUAGUUUUCAAAUUUGAAUAAUUUGAAAUUUGUGUGAAUCACUAGUUUGUGAAUAACUUAACUUUAAAAAUAGAUUUUCCAGUGAUUCUUUUUUCUUAUGUUUAAUAUUAGUGUGUUUUAUCAUUAUAUUCAAUUUGUUAAUACUUAGGUUAUUUAAAAAAUGAAAUGCCUUUGUAACAGAUGAGUUUUCGUCCGAAACCCUGAUACUUCGAAAGAGAUUGUCCAUUUUGUACACGAAGUGCAUCCAGUUUUUGCCGUAACCCUCUCAACUUUUUUGCACAUGCUGUGUGGGUGAAAUGAUGAUACCAUGCCAACUUUCAACCUUUUCAGAGUUCAUUUGUACUGCUUUCCAAUUUCAGGGUCAUUUAGCUCAAAAAAUCAGUAAAUGCAUGAAAAAUAGCAAAUGAUGUGAGAAAUGGUUGAAAGUUGAUGUUGCUUUGAAUGGUGCAUACUGAACGCACAAAAAAUCUGGAGUUGUAAUAGGUUUAAAAAAUGAAAUGCCUUUGUAACAGAUGAGUUUUCGUCCGAAACCCUGAUACUUCGAAAGAGAUUGUCCAUUUUGUACACGAAGUGCAUCCAGUUUUUGUCGUAACCCUCUCUAAUUUUUUGCACAUUCUAUGUGGGUGAAAUGAUGAUACCAUGCCAACUUUCAACCUUUUCAGACUUCAUUUGUACUGUUUUUCAAUUUCAGGGUCAUUUAGCUCUAAAAAAUCAGUAAAUGAGCUGAAAAUAGCAAAUGAAGUCAGAAAGGUACACGUUUGUCCGAAGCACAAAAGUACACGUUUCAAAUGCCAAAACACAUAAGCACCCUAACUAUUACAAAGAUUCCCUACGGUUUGUCCAAAGUGGGACUUUCCAGAUAUACAAGUCCGGAAACUCACUAGAGAAGAAAGUGAUGACAGUGAAGCCGAUCACAUCCCAGAGUGGGAUCUUCAGGUGUGAAACUUUUUCUUUGCGUGUGUCCCUUUGCGCCGUAACCAUGGAUAAUCUUCAUCAUUUAACUGGAUGCUCGGGUCAAUAUUCACUGUGAAUGGAGCAAUUUCAUCAAACUUUUCAUAAUCUUCUGACAUGUUUGUCUUGUCAUCCACUCCCACGAUGUUUCUUUUCCCUAAAAGAACUAUGUGGCGCUUUGGCUCAUCGUAUGAUGUAUUUGCUUCCUUAUCUUUUCUUUUUCUCGGCUUGGUAGACAUGUCCUUCACAUAGAAAACCUGCGCCACAUCAUUGGCUAGGACGAAUGGUUCGUCUGCGUACGCAAGAUUGUUGAGAUGCACUGUUGUCAUUCCGUACUGCAGGUCUUCCAUUACCACGCCUCGUUUCAUAUUGACCCAUUUGCACCGAAACAAAGGGACCUUCAAACCACGUCCAAUAUUCAAGUUCCCAUAUGUCCUCUAUGUAACCAUAAUAUGUGUCCUUUCCCCUCUUGGUUGGUGCUCUUCUUAUCUUGGGCGAUCGUGUAAAAUGUAUUCCCAUUUAUCUCGUACCCUUUGAAAGUCAUUAUAUUCGAAGAUGGUAACUUGGACAGCAAGUACAGGUCAUCUUCAACAGCGGCGUCAUGCAUGGCACGUGUCUGCAACCAACUGGCGAAAGUCCCCGUUUGUUCACGUGUAAUCCAGUCGUCAGACUGCUCCGGGUGUUUGGAGCAUAGAAAAUUCUUGUGUUCCUCCAUAUACGGAGCCACCAAGGCGGAAUUUUGUAGAACUGUGUAGUGUGCUUGAGUGAGAGAAUGCCCAUCCAUACAUAUUAUUUGUUCCGGUCCUAGCGUGCCAUUUCCACCCAGUCUGCCCUUGUGCCGCGAUUCAGGAACACCAAUCGGCUUAAGGUCAGUAAUAAAGUCAAUACAAAACUCAAUGACCUCAUUUUCAUGGCCCUUGGAGAUGCUUCCUUCUGGCCUAGCAUGGUUAUGAACAUAUUUCUUUAAGACUCCCAUGAACCUCUCAAAGGGGAACAUAUUGUGUAAAAAUACAGGACCCAGAAUGUUAAUCUCUUUGCAUGUGAACUAGGACGUGCGUCAUGAUGUUGAAGAAGGAUGGUGUGAACACCAACUCGAAACUGACAAGACAUUGCACCAAACCAUUCUCUAACCUUAGGUUUUGGAACUUUUUCUCUGCCAUAUUUAUUAUUCCCUUUAUAUUCGAUGAGAAGCCAGACGGGACCAUCAUACUGAGCAGGCAUUCAAAGAAGAUUUCCUUCUCUUCUUUGGUAAGAGCGUAGCUGGCAUGACCCUGGUGUAUGUCGUCUUUGCCAUGCAUACGUUGUUGGUCCUCCCGUGCCUCCGGUGUAUCUUUUGUCUUCCCAUACACGCCCAAGAAGCCAAGCAGGGUCACGCAAAGAUUCUUCGUCACGUGCAUCACGUCGAUUGCGGAGCGGACCUCUAGGUCUUUCCAAUAGGGCAUGUCCCAAAAUAUAGAUUUCUUCUUCUACAUGGGUACGCGCUCGUCAGCGUCAUUCGGAACAGAUUGUCCGCCAGGACCCUUUCCAAAGAUUACCUUCAAAUCCUUGACCAUAUCAUGUACAUCAUCACCAGUACGGUGGCGAGGCUUCGUCUGGUGAUCUGCCUCACCUUUGAAAUGCUUGCCUUUCUUUCUUACGGGAUGCCUGCUCGGAAGAAAUCGACGAUGUCCCAGGUACACAUUCUUCCUACAAUUAUCCAAAUAUAUACUGUCGGUAUAAUCCAAACAGUGCGUGCAUCCGCGGUAUCCCUUGUUUGUCUGUCUUGAAAGGUUACUGAGAGCAGGCCACAUUGAUGGUCACGAACAACAACGCCUGUAGGUCAAAUUCUUCCUGUUUGUGCUCAUCCCACGCACGUACACCUUUUCCAUUCCACAACUGUAAGAGUUCUUCAACUAAUGGCCUUAGGUACACAUUGAUAUGUCUCCAACGUAUCUACUUUUUCUCACGCUUUUCCUCUUGUUUUGGACUCUAAUUUGCAUGAUUUGAAUGAAACUAACCCCAGGCUGACGCUGUUUUCAGCAAAACUACCAUGGUGUUGUUUUUGUGCAGAAAUAAAAGUUCUCAGAAUGAAAUGAAACUUUGCAAGGAUUUUUUAUGGAAUAAAAGAGAAUUUCUAGAGCCAAGACCCACCGGAGAGGGCCCCUGGGUGGGCACAACCUACCAGGGUGCGCCCCCCUCUCCUGGCGCGCCCAGGUGGGUUGUACCCACCUAGUGGCCCUGCAGACGACCCUCCUAACGCUAUAAAAUCACAUAUUUCCUGGAAAAAAAUCAGGGAGAAAGAAUUAUCGCGUUCCACAAGACGGAGCCGCCGCCAAGCCCUGUUCUUCCUCGGGAGGGUAGAUCUAGAGUCCGUUUGGGGCUCCGGAGAGGGGGGAUCUUCGUUCUUCGUCAUCACCAACCAAUCUCCAUCGCCAAUUCCAUGAUGCUCCCCACCGGGAGUGAGUAAUUCCUUCGUAGGCUCGCUGGUCGGUGAGGAGUUGGAUGAGAUUCAUCAUGUAAUCGAGUUAGUUUUGUUAGGGCCUGAUCCCUAGUAUCCACUAUGUUCUUAGAUUGAUGUUGCUAUGACUUUGCUAUGGUUAAUGCUUGUCACUUUGGGCCCGGGUGCCAUGAACUCAGAUCUGAACCGUUUAUGAAUUCAUCAUUAUAUCCAUGUUUUAGAUCCGAUCUUGCAAGUUAUAGUCACCUACUACGUGUUAUGAUCCGGCAACCCCGGAGUGACAACAACCGGGCCCACUCCCGGUGAUGACCGUAGUUUGAGGAGUUCAUGUAUCCACUAUGUGUUAAUGCUUUGUUCUGGUUCUCUAUUAAAAGGAGGCCUUAAUAUCCCUUAGUUUCCAAUAUGGACCCUGCUGCCACGGGAGGGUAGGACAAAAGAUGUCAUGCAAGUUCUUUUAAUAAAGCACGUCUGACUAUUUACGGAAUACAUGCCUACAUUAUAUCGAUGAACUGGAGCUAGCACCGUAUCGCCCUAGGUUAUAACUGUCACAUGAUGAAUAUCAUCCAACAAGUCACCGAUCCAAUGCCUACGAAUUUAUUUAUAUUGAUCUUGAUGAGUUACUACUACUAUCAUCACUGUUACACUUGCUACAAAAAUACUGCUAUCACUGUUACUGUUACCGUUGCUCCUGCCACUACUAUCAAAACUAUCAAACUACUUUGCUACUGAUCACUUUGCUGCAGAUAAUUAAUCUCCAGGCGUGGUUGAAUUGACAACUCAGCUGGUAAUAUCUUCAAAUAUUCUUUGGCUCCCCUUGUGUCGAAUCUAUAAAUUUGGGUUGAAUACUCUACCCUCGAAAACUGUUGCGAUCCCCUAUACUUGUGGGUUAUCAAGACCUUUUUCUAGCGCCUUUGCCGGGGAGCAUAGCUAUAUUUGUUGAGUCACUUGGGAUUAUUAUCAAUUUGUCACUAUGAAGAAUCUGAAGGAUCCAAAGACUAAGAUAUUUCCCUCAAAGACGAGGGGAGGUAAGGAACUGCCAUCCAGUUCUGCUUUAGAUUCACCUUCUGUUAUGAGUAAACUCGGAACACCAAAACAUGCUAUCAAUUCUAAUAUGUCGCAAGUUAUUGAUGAUGCUACUUCUACUAUGAAUGAUGCUUAUGAUGAUGCUAGUACCAUGCUUGAUAAUGAUGAUGUGCCACUUGGUGAAUUUCUUGAUGAACAAAUUGCUAGAGUAAUACAACAUGAUGUUGUUGAAUCUGAUGAUGAGCUUGAAACUGAAACUCCUAAAACACCUGCUAGAACUAGCCUUCCUAGAUAUGAAUUGCCUAAGGUACCGGAAGGUUAUGUUAUGAAUGAGGAGACAACUAGAGAUAUUCUUGCUUGUAAGGAUAGAGAUGAUCUAGAGAAAUUACUAUACAAGUAUAAAGAAAAGUCUCUGAAUGCUAGAAUGAAAUGUGAUCCUAAGUUUGCUAGUUCACCUAUCUUUAUUGAUGAUAAGGAUUAUGAAUUCUCUGUCGACCCAGAGUUAAUUACUUUGGUUGAAUCUGAUCCUUUCCAUGGUUAUGAAACUGAAACUGUUGUGGCACAUCUUACUAAGUUGAAUGGCAUAGCCACCCUUUUUACUCAUGAUAAGAAAACUCGCUAUUACUUUAUUCUGAAAUUAUUUCCUUUCUCAUUAAAGGGUGAUGCUAAAGCUUGGUGCCAUACUCUUACUCCUGGUUAAGUGCGUAGUCCCCAGGAUAUGAUUUAUUACUUCUCUGGAAAAUAUUUUCCUGCUCAUAAGAAACAAGCUGCCUUACAAGAAAUAUUUAACUUUGUGCAAACUAAAGAAGAGAGUCUUCCACAAGCUUGGGGGAGGCUUUGCCAGUUACUUAAUGCUUUGCCUAAUCAUCCUCUUAAGAAAAAUGAAAUACUUGAUAUCUUCUAUAAUGGACUAACCGAUACUUCUAGGGACUUCCUAGAUAGUUGUGCUGGUUGUGUUUUCAGGGAACGAACUAUUGCUCAAGCUGAAGAAUUAUUGAAUAACAUAUUAAAAAAUUAUCUACCCUCGAAAACUGUUGCGAUCCCCUAUACUUGUGGGUUAUCAGACAUCAAUGUCGUUGCCGGGUUGCUUAGGGCCUUGGAUGAGCACUGGCAUCAUAAUGAACUUCCGCUUCAUGCACAACCAAGGAGGAAGGUUAUACAUACAUAGAGUCACAUGCCAGGUGCUAUGGUUGCUGCUCUGCUCCCCAAAAGGAUUAAUGCCAUCUGCACUUAGACCAAACCAUACGUUCCUUGUGUCACCUGCAAAGUCCUCCCAGUACUUUCUCUCUAUUUUUCUCCACUGCGACCCGUCAGCGGGUACUCUCAACUUCCCGUCUUUCUUAUGGUCUUCUCCGUGCCAUCGCAUCGACUUGACAUGCUCUUUGUUUUGGAACAAACGUUUCAACCGUGGUAUUAUAGGAGCAUACCACAUCACCUUAGCAGGAAUCUUCUUCCUGGGGCGCCCGCCCUCGACAUCACCAGGGUCAUCGCGGCUGAUCUUAUAGCGCAAUGCACCGCAUAUCGGGCACGCGUUUAAAUCCUCCUACUCACCGCGGUAGAGGAUGCAGUAAUUAGGGCAUGCAUGUAUCUUAUUCACCUCUAACCCUAGAGGGCAGACAACCUUCUUUGCUUCGUACGUACUCUCGGGCAAUUCAUUGUCCUUUGGAAGCAUCUUCUUUAACAUUAUCAGCAACUUUCCAAAUCCCUUGUCAGAUACACCAUUCUCUGCCUUCCAUUGCAGCAAUUCCAGUGUGGUGCCCAGCUUUUUCUUGUCAGCUUCGCAAUUCGGGUACAACAAUUUCUUGUGAUCCUCUAACAUGCGCUGCAACUUCUUCUUCUCCUUUUCACUUGCGCAGUUUCUCUUUGCGUCGGCAAUGGCCCGACCUAGGUCAUCAGCGGGCUCAUCUAAUGCCUCUUCUUCAGCUUCUUCCCACAUUGCCGGCUCAGCUUCUUCCCCCAUUGUUGUACCAUCGUAUUCAGGGAACCCAUGGCCAGGAUAGCUGUCGUCGUCCUCUUCUUCUUCAUUGUCUUCCAUCAUAACCCCUCUUUCUCCGUGCUUGGUCCAAACAUUAUAGUGGGGCAUGAAACCGGACUCAAACAGGUGGACGUGAAUGGUUCUUGACUUAGAGUAAUUCUGAUCAUUCUUACAGCCAGCACAUGGACAAGGCAUAAAACCAUCCGUCCUCUUGUUUGCCUCUGCCGCAAGCAGAAAAGUUUGCACGCCAUUAACGAACUGGGGAGAGCAUCGGUCAUCGUACAUCCAUUGCCGGCUCAUCUUCAUUACACAGCACCGAAUAGACCAAAUUAAUACAAGUUCAUACAUAAAGUUCAUACAACACUUAAAUGCAACAUACAAAUAACUUUUUAGCUAAAGCAUUUAAAUGCAACAACAAAUGCGAUCAAGAUCGCAACUAAGGUAACAAUUGAUCCAACAACAUGAUGAUACCAAGCCUCACUAUCAAUGGCAUAUUUUCUAAUCUUUCUAAUCUUCAAGCGCAUUUUCUCCAUCUUGAUCUUGUGAUCAUCGACGACAUCGGCAACAUGCAACUCCAAUUCCAUCUUCUCCCCCUCAAUUCUUUUCAAUUUUUAUUUCAAAUACUCGUUUUCUCUUUCAACUAAAUUUAUCCUCUCGACAAUAGGGUCGGUUGGAAUUUCCGGUUCACAUACCUCCUAGAUAAAAAUAUCUAUGUCAACUUGAUGGGCAUAAUUUGUCAUAAACACAAAAUGCAAUAAAUAGUUAUAAAAGAGAAUAUACCACAUCCGAAUCAUAACCCGGACGAGUGCCGACGGGGACGAAUAUCAAAACCAUGGCACUAUGUAUAACAAACAACGUACGGGUAAGAUAAUUAUGAGUAACUAUAUAUCUAAAUCACACAAACAUGAUUUUUUAUAUAAAAAAGAUAAGAACAAGAGGCUCACCACAAGGUGGUGCUGGCGACGGGACGGUGCGGGUGAUCGAUGGUGGUUAGGACGGAGACGGGAGGCACUAAGUAAACCACACCUACAUAUGCAAACUAGGAGUUAUUUUAACCUCAAAUUGCAUAUAAAUCAAAUACCACCACAUAUAAUUCCUCCCAAAAUAAAACCCACAAAUCACUAUACUUAUAGAGCAUUGCAAGAGCUAAUAUAGCAAUGAGAGAUGAAAGGACAAAGUUGCUAACCUUUGUGAUCACUUGGAUGGCCUUCAAAUCUUCACAAAUUUUGGCAAAAAUGGAGUGUGAGCUCGAGAGGAAGAGGAAGAAAACAGAGGAGAGGGGAAGGGGGAAGAACAGUGCGCUCGGGCUCGACGAAGGGGUUUAUAUAGGAUGACCUUUAGUACCGGCUGGUUAUACGAACCGGGACUAAAGGUGCAUCUCUAGUCCCGGUUCAUAUAACCAACCGGUACUAAAGGUGCUGGUGGGGCCCCAGCCUAACACAAGCCUGCCACCACGUCUUUAGGACCGGUUCGUGGCAUGAACCGGUACUAAAGGUUCGCCACGAACCGGUACUAAUGAUCGCCGCCCGCCUAGCCGUUGGAACCGACACUAAUGAGCACAUUAGUGUCGGAUCAGUUACAAACCGAGACUAAUGUGCUUCACAUUAGGCCCUUUUUCUACUAGUGGUGCUUCGCACGGCGGUCAUGGCGGCUUCCUGGCUUUGCGGCGGUAAUCGACGGCCCCAUGGCCGGCGGGGGUACUCCGGUGGGCUCCUUGGCUCUGCGAUGGGCGGCGACGACGGCCGUGGAUCUGGCAUCCCAGCCAGAUCCGUCAUCGAUCCUUCACGUGGAUGCUCGGCGGCGCGAUGAGGGCUCCGAUGAGGGGAUGGAGGAUCUCCACCAGAAUACCGGCGACGGCAUAUGUCUUCAUGGCGAGGCUUCGCGCGGUUCCACCCAGCCGCGAGAUCGGGACGACGUGACUUCCGGUGAAAAUUACGACUGACUGUUGUCUUGGCGGACGAUGGCGGCGUCUUUGACAUUGUUUCCUUCUCGAGGCAUCGUCGUUCUAGGUCACGUCAACUCGAUUGGGAUAUUAUGGGGAAAAUCCUAGAUCUUGAUCUACCGGAUCGGAUGAUGACGACGCCUUUGGUGUCGUUCUCCCUUCUGGGGGCAUCAUUUUGGAGUAAGUGCUGGCUGGAGGGUACAAGAGCUUGUACAUUCCCCAUUCUCACACAACAUGUCAUACUGCAAAUGUAUAAGACCAAAAUAGAAUGUACAUUCAACUUGGUAAACAAAGUACUACUACAAUAUUUCCAUUUAAAAAAAAGUACUACCAUAUGAAGUUGAAAGUGUCAAUUAGGGACAACAUGACAAACUUACAGAUACAAACUACAACAAAAUAUAGAAUAACCACAUGAAAAUAAAACCUCCACUAUACAUUAUUAUGAAAGCAGACACCACAAGAAGCUAUGAGAUUUAGAUGACAACAUGAACUACCGCAACACCUGCUUAAUUACUCGGUGUAACCAAGAAAAAAAGUCAUGCAUUGGAGUACAGAAGACCGUGUUGCUACUUUUAUGUUCAAGGGUAUACUGGCAAACCAGAACACUGCUUAAUUUCUUCCAUCAAUAUGUCUUUAGCUUUCUUGCACACUACUCAGACCUGCACAAGAAACAUUUAUAAGAUGUUGAUAAUGCAACCUGACUACCCAAGACCCGAGUGAGUUUUUGUCCACACCGAGGAUAAUAAAGCAAUGAAAACAUUACACUCUUCUCUCAAAUUGGUUAGGACCAAAAGGAAGUCAAGGCCAAGUAAACCAGCAUCUCGCUAGUAUUGGCAACAUCUUGCUUAGUUAUCAAUGUGUCAAGGCCAAGUUAAGACCGUUUUUUCCAACAACAGCAAGCCUUGAUCAGAAUCCUUCAAGGGGGUGGGGGCAAGGAUGAUAAUUCGUCUAGGGGUAAUAUGAACACAUUGAUGUUGCUGCUCCUUGAAUGGGAUUUCCAGCUUGUGCCAGAAAUGAGUUCUUUCUCAAUUGAGAAGAAGCUUUUUAGGUCUCCUCGUGGUUCCUCUCGAUUCUACAUCUUCAUGAACAAAACAAAAUCAGAAGACAUCUCCAUGUUACAUGAAGCAAGACAAAGAAAGAAACUGCAAAAAAUAUUGAGUCAAGUACACAAGAUUUUUCUUAUGUGUAAAAUCUAGACAGAAAUAUGUGCAGUGCAGAACCAGAGGAACCAAGGUAGCCGACUUACAAAGCUUUUGAGAGACCUCAUGUGUGGACCUGGUAAGGCCUUUCAAACCACCCGCAUUUUAUCUUUGGCCUACUUCCUUGCUGUAUUUGUCCUAACCAAAGAGAUACAUAAUAUAACCACACACUCAGUCAUGUAAAAAAAGAGCUUGGAAAUCCAUAAAACUGCAUAUUUGUAGCAAAGAGAGAACCACCCAAAGGCAGACGUAAACAUGUGUGUAUAGGGGUUAACUCAAAAGAGAAAACUACAUGUGUGUAGAGGGGUUAACUCAAAAGUACUGUAAAAUGGAGGCAGGAGACACGAGAGUGCAUUUUUUCUGAGAAAAGAUCGAAAAACAAUUGAACUCAAAUCCCGCCACGGAGAAAGUCAUGCGCGCGCGCGGGGGCCGAAACCCGUCCGCUCCCCGCCCACCUACUUCCCGCCACGUCAGCGAUCCGUGCCGGGGCGCAUCUGGGUCCUCCAUCGCGCACCGCGACGAACGGCAGAUAUCCUAUCGAUCCGCGGCACCCACCCCUCCACCAAUCAGAGCCGGCCUCCCCCUCCUAUAAAUCCACCGCGCCCCCGCCCUCAAUCCUCCACCAUUCCUCCCACCUUCAAGCUCAUCCACACAAGCACCUCUCGGCUCUCCCGGUCGAAGCAUCCGCAUCCUCAUCCAUGGCCCCCAAGGCAGCCGAGAAGAAGCCGGUGGAGAAGACCCCGGCGGGGAAGAAGCCCAAGGCGGAGAAGAAGGUGCCGGCGUCCAAGGAGGGCGGCGGCGACAAGAAGGGCAAGAAGAAGGCCAAGAAGAGCGUGGAGACGUACAAGAUCUACAUCUUCAAGGUGCUGAAGCAGGUGCACCCGGACAUCGGCAUCUCCUCCAAGGCCAUGUCCAUCAUGAACUCCUUCAUCAACGACAUCUUCGAGAAGCUGGCCGGCGAGUCCGCCAAGCUGGCGCGCUACAACAAGAAGCCCACCAUCACGUCCCGCGAGAUCCAGACCUCCGUCCGCCUCGUCCUCCCCGGCGAGCUCGCCAAGCACGCCGUCUCUGAGGGCACCAAGGCCGUCACCAAGUUCACCUCCGCCUGAUCUGGCCGUCUCCGUUUGUCUUCUUUGAUGGAUGUAUCGGUGUUGCUCUGUAGUAGUUAGCUGUUCGUGCUCUGUCGUGUUGUAGCUUGUGCUGGUUGUUUUGGAUCACAUUUCAUGAUCCGGAGAAAUAGUAAUUUCAGUUCUUGAUAUGAUCCGCUACUUUGUCUUGGUUCGAUCUGUGGUGCGAGCUCGC